This 45608-nucleotide long non-coding RNA is filed under the name Malus domestica (apple). The record is from RNAcentral. Lineage: Eukaryota; Viridiplantae; Streptophyta; Magnoliopsida; Rosales; Rosaceae.
UUUAAUCCAGUUGGAUUAAUGAGUGGGUCCGUCUCUAGCUACGUCAACAUUUAACAAAGAAAUUAACAGAAAAACUGACGGAAGUCUGACAUUGGAACAAAUUCAUAAAAUAAGGUAUGACAUUGUCAUUUUUUAAAAAUGAGGUAUGAUAUUAUCAUUCGACCCAUAAUUGAGGUAGUUUUAUGUAAUUAAAUUAUCUUGACCGAAAAAUAAAAUUAAAAAAAAAAAAAACCUUUUGUGGAACUGUAUCGAUUUUUAUUGGCCUGUGUCAGAUGCCUUAUAACCUGAACCAUAUAGACUCUUCACUGGCAUACUGAUAUCACUUCACUGGUGAUGGUAUAAGGCUAAUGGAUAACUGAAAAUGUUGGAUAAAUUUUAGGAAACACCGUUUGAUUGGAGAUGUUUCAUAGUUGUAUGACUAUUAUCAAUAUUAUCAUCACGAAAUGUGCCCCAAUCUAUUAAGGAGUUUGAGUAUCAGCAUAAUAAUCAUCUCGUGUUUAUGUUCAUACUUAACUCUUAAUAUGUCUUUAGCCUAACAUUUUUUAUGUUCAAAUUUACAUUGGUUCAGGUAGAAGAAAUUAACCCUACGAAGAAGCGGAGGUUUGAAGCUGAGCUCAUUCUUUAUCUCUAAGUUUUGAAAUGGGGAACAAUUUAACAUUACUGCUCAUGGGAUCCAAACGAUUUUUGAGGUGGCAUUUUUGUAGCCCAAAAGCCAGAGACUUUCUUCUAAAAAGCAAGCAUACGUUGCUUCGAAGUUUGGCUCACUUUUGUAAGUUCAACGGUGUACAAGUUUUCAUUUUCCUUACGUUGUUUGAAAUUAGAAUUGUACAUUCUUUGUUGUAUUAUCUAUACAAUUAUUAAGAGAUCCUCUUUGUCGACUAUCAACUGUGAAAUCCCAAGGGUCCUGAGAAAAAAGUACGAAAAUAAUGGGCAAAGGUAAUAUAUUCUGAGAAAUUUACACCAAAUGCAGGACCUUAUUAGUACAAAAUCUUAAUCUAGAGACAAUUUACAGACUUUUCAACUAACAAAGCAACACAAAACAAAUGAAACGAUCUUUUUGCUCUUGUGAGUACAGAAACUAGCCAUCUAUUUAUUCGUUUCAAUUAUCUUUAAACUCUAUGGCAUGAAACCUUUGAAUAUUCAGCCAUAUCCACAAGUUGAACAAACACAUUUCACUCCGUGGGAGCAUUUCUUAUCGCACUUGCCGCAUCGUUUCAAGCUAUCUAUUUAUUCAUUUCAAUUUAAUUAUUGUUAUUACUCUAUCUAAGUUAAUCUGGUUGGUGUUAGAAACUGUCACGAGUUACCAAUUUGACUUGCUUCAGGAGCGUGAGAAGAAGGCAAAGAAGAAGUCAUCAUCUGCAACCAAGCCCAAUUCCAAGGAACCAAUAGAACCUAUUGCUGCGGUUGCAGAACCAGGAAAGGUAAUUGAAAAAGGUUGAAGCUUCUGUUCCGGCAAAGGCGAAGGCACAAAAGGAUAAUUUCUGAAGAACAGAGGUCGAGCAAGAGGUUCAGACGCACUACCAAAGGACAUCCUGAAGAGGAAAAAUUCGAGUACCAACUAUUAGCUAUGGGCUGCUUCUGCUGCUGUGUGUGUUGUGUUGUUUCUAGUGCUGGGUUACUACUAUGUUCUUUGAGGAAGGUAAGAUGGAACCGACCGAGGUAGAGAAGGGUCGAGAACUACAAUUUUCUGCAUGAUAGGCGUCCGAUAACGACUAGGUCUAUCUGUUUAGUUAAACUAAGUUAUUUCUGUUCAUUACAUCCUUCUGUGGAUGGACUCAAAAUUCAUAUUGUUGGUGGUAGUUCAGUGGCCAAUCCAGGAUUUUAAAUUCGGAAGGUCCUAUUAAUAAAGGUAAAAAAAAAAUUAUAGACAAAAUUAACAUUGAAAAGUUAAAUAUAAUACAUUUCAUUCAAAAAUCAUACGCAAAACAGCAUUACAAACUAUAAAAUCUUAAUUUGAGCGUCCACGAUGAGGUUUCAUAGUCUGAAAAUGUUCUAUGAUAGCUUCAUUACCAAUACAUAAAAAAAACAUAUUUCUCAAUAUAAAUAACUAAGUUGUCACUCAACCAUCUUUCUCAAUGAACAAAUAGAUGAUGCUAUUGGCUUUGGCUUGAAAAAUCUCUCCAUAUUUUUUAUUUCUAAACUACACAUUUAACAAAAAAAAAACACAAAACAUAUACCAAUUGUUAAAAAGGUCCUAUUUUCUUUCUUAUCCGCUUGCGGUCUAGGCGGAUUUAAGUAAAUUUAUUAUAUACCUUUAGUAUUUUGGUGAAUUUAAGGUAUAAGAUAAAAGUUUAAAUAAUUACAAGUUCAUAGUAAUUUACAUAAUACUUUUAGAGAUCAUAUUGAUUUAUAUUGAAUUUUAAGACAAAUAAGUGUGUUAAAUAUGUGGGUGUAGAAAGCAAAAUGAGGCAUUGGACGCAUAAAAAGGGCAGCCACACCAAUUAACAAAAAUACACCUAGGGACUGACAACCCAUUUUCUUUUUUGGAAAGAUCAACUUGAUGCUAGCUGUCCAAACGUGAUUGGACCAAUUAAAAAAUACAUUAAAUGGGAAAGUUUGAGGGUGGUCAUGUGGGAAAGGAUGAGAGAGACUCAUUUAAUCAUCUUUCCUCCUUUCGUCUUCCCAAGAACAGAACCACCAAACCCAAAAAUUACAUAACACACCUCAUGUACGAGUACGAGGGGUCCCCGAAAAAUUUCUAGCAGCAAUUUAGGGUCGUCGAGGGGUCCUGGGACCUCCCAGGUCCCUCUGUAUAUCCGCCACUGUGGUAGUCCAAACUCUCUUUCAAUGGAGAAGAAGAAACACACAUUUGGUUUUCUUUAUGUCAUUUCAAAUUUCAAAAUUUAUCCCUUUUUCACGGAUGUUAUCUUAAAGAAUAUCCUGGUUCUGUUAUUUUUCAAGCAAUUAUGAGUUUUAAUGUCAUCUGCAAUUCUUUGGGACCAUUGGAUAACUAUUUCAUUUUGGGGAGUGAUUGAUUUUUACACUCUCUGUUUUACCUCUUUGCAUUCCUUUAUUUAGAACAAUAAUGGGAAAUCUUUAUGUAUAAUAACAAUCCUUUAUCCAGUGCUUAACUACAUUGACAGAAAGUAAUCAUGCCUUUACACAUUGGUUUGGAUUUCUUGACCAAUUCUCCUUCCUCCUAGCAACUAAGUAUCUAAUCCACUAAUGUUAUCAUUCUCAUAAUAAAAAGAACAAUACUUGGCUACUCAAAUGAUGAGUAGGAAUUCCUACUCAAAAUAUCCGUUGCCGAUUUAUAUAACUUUGUUUUUAUGAUCAAAACCGUUCAUAUUAUAAAUCACCUUAUAAAGAUUGUCUCUUAAAAAAUCAAUUAAAAUUAAAGUUGUUUAGUCAUUGAAAGGUUCUGAAAUAUCUCUUUGAAGUAUGGAAGGUUUCUAAAAUUUCUUUUUGUGUUGUAAACACGAAAAUUCUGUAUCGAAUGAAACAAGAACACGUGUACAAAGUAGAUUGGUAUUGAUUUGAAUUUGUAGGUUACAAUCUCUUUUUACAACUUUUUCUCUAAUUCAAUCUUCAAAUUUGAUGUAAAUGGUUGAUUGUUGAUCCAAGGAUCGCUAUGACUUGAUCUUGGACAAACGAUUGAACGAUUGCGUCAAGUUUUGAGCUUGAAACAAUGUGUGGAUGGUCUCCACCUCUAGGUGCAACAAAGAUGAUGUUGAUGUAGAAUUUUGUUGACUUGAUCUUGAAACGAACGUUUGCUACAAGUUUUGAGCUUGCAACAAAGCCUUGAAGGAAUCAGCACGAGUGCUUGUUGAUUCUUCAAGUGAGUGCUUCAACUUUGGUCGACAUAAAGUUUCAGCUUUAGUUGAAUAUUCUUAGAAGAGAGCUUUGGUAGCGUAUUAGUCUUCAAAGAUUUGGCAGAGGUUCUUCUGAAUGUAGAAUUUUCGACCCUUAUGCUUAUGGGAGGACCUUGUAUUUAUAGGUCUCUCAAGGCUUGUCUUUGGGUUGAUUUGACUUUGAUUUAUAUCCUAAUUUGUCCAUGGGAGAAUUUAGGGAUGUUUUGUGUCUUAAUUUCAACCAUCUUUACUCCGUUGGCUGAAUUAUAAGGUCUUUGUUUCCUAUUUUGUGAGCAAUCUUCAAUUCUUGCUUGUUUUGUGAAGAUGCCUUAACUUUCUUUCCGGUCUUGAGAACACUUUCAACCCUUGCCCUUUUUUUAAGAGAGGUUUUCUCUCUUUGGCCGAAUUCUGGGAAGUUUUAAGUUUCCUUUGCUUGAUUUGUGCCACAUGUCAUUGAUGACUUGUCCAUUUGUAAUGAGUCAGAUGUCAUAUGGAGCUUUGUGAUGCAUCAUUUGUAUGCAAUGAAAUUUACAUGUCUACAGGUGUAUUGCAGGGUUUGGAAAUCUCUCUUUAACGUGUUGAUGAGUUUGAAAAAUGUACAUUAAUGUGCAGUCAUGGUUGUUUGCCAAUUUUCUCAAUUUGGCCCCAUCUUUAUCAAUUGAGGUCUUCACUUUUUGCUCAUAUAUAAUGCAGACCUGUUGCAGUAAGCAAUAUUUAAGUUAAAAAAUAGCUCGUGGCUUCCUCUUCAUCUUCUUAUUCUCUUGCAUUAUAUCAUUUUUGUUUAAUUACCAUCCAUCAUUGCUUUUAUAUGAUUGUGGGGAACUUUAUGCCUUGAAUGUGGAGGAGCUCCACUAGCUUUCCAUGGCUUGUUGGGUAGUUGGGAAUGGAAGAAAUCAAUCUUAAAAGGAAAUUUCUCUUAGACGUAUUGAAUAUGCACAAGAGCUCUCUCUAACCCACCCAUCUUCUUCAUCCAAGCGCUCUCUCUCUCCCCUCUCUACAUUUUGAAUAUGCACAAGAGCUCUCUCUCUAACCCACUCAUCUUCCUCAAUUUUUACCUUUUCAUUCAUAGGUUUUGUGAACUGGGUUUGCUUAAAUUUGCUUUUUGAUUGAUGAAAUUUUGGAGUUAAAGUUGAUUGGUUUGGUGUUUCUUGGAGGAGACCCAAAUCCUUUUUUUUAUCAUAUCUCUGAUUUAUAUUUGGAUUUUCAUUUCUUCUGCCUUCUCCUUCCUUCUGCUCCCUCUCUCCAUCCAAAUUUACAAGCACUAAAAUAGGGUUUGGCUUUUGCUACAAUUAAAUGAAAAAAAACGUAUUAAAGGUCAGUUACCUUUUGGAGAAGAGAUAAUUUUGAGGGAAAAGAGAGAAAUCAGAGUGGAAAGAAGGAAGAGAGAAGGAUAUGGAUGAAAUUGUUUUGCGUAGUCGUUCGCUCUCUUCGUAUUAAGCUCACUCAUACAUUGUAUGUACACGACAUGCACAUGUUAUGCUCACAGAUCUGCGCUCAACCCAAAAACCUACAGCUCACAGCUCUUUCUUCGAAAUCAGAAAAAUGACGCAAUUAGAUAAAUGAUCCUAAACUUUAUAUGAAGAAUCGAAGAUUCAUUAAUUUGAAUUUGGUAUCAAAUUUGAUUGGGUUCAAAUAUUUCAAGGAUUUGAAAAAUUUGCAGUUUGAAUGGGCACGAAAGAACCCAACUGAAUUAAAGGAAAUUGUUUCACGAACUCGUUCACUUUUUUCGUAUUUGCAGGGCCUGCCUCUGAAUCAAAGUAAAAAGUAGUAAACUAUGUCAAUGCGAAGAGUAUCAAAGAUGUAAAUACGCACCAUCUACACAAAUACAGUAUAUGCACACCACAUGCACAUAAUAUGUACAGUAUAUGCACAUGAUAUGCACAGAAUGAGAGAAACUUUAACGGCAACAUAUUGGUAUAGUGGAUACAAUUAAAACAUAAUUGUUAGGUAUAUAAGGUUACAAUGAUAGUUUGAAAAGUCUUGUUACGUAUAUCAACCACCGCUUAACCGUGCACGUGGAAAACAUGAUACUCGUUGUUGUUAUUUCAUGGACACGCAUGACCCUUAACGUCCUCUAAGUUUUUUCUUAAUUUUGUUUUUCACCGAGGCCAACUAGGUUGUGGUCAUACUCGCUAAAUUCUGAGGCACAACAUACGUGCAUCAUAACUAGUGAACAUCCCUACUUCUCAUAUUAAGAUGUAGCCAUGCACACCACAUGCAUAUUACGGAAAAAAAUUUCACAAAUUUUUGAAAUUGGACACUUAACCAGAAAUUGUUCCAUCCCAGUCUUGUAGCAUGUCAAAACUUGAACUUUAUUCCACGACCCAUAUGCCCCAACAUGAAACACAAACCCUAAUUUAACUUCUAAGUAUUAAUUUAUCUUACAAACAACCCAUUUAUUCCAUAAAUCAUUGAUGAAGGAACAACCCAUUUAUUCCAUAAAUCAUUGAUGAAGGAACUUGCAACUAAACACCCUACCUUACUAUGUCUGACAGUCGCCCGAAAGUGAAACUUUCCAGCCAAAACAGAAAAUAUGGUACAAAACCCAACUCAAUCUUCUCACCUCUCUCUCAUAUCCCUUUGUUUGAAAUCAGAGGCAUGAGGUGAAUCCAAAACCCAGCUCACUCUUCUCGCCUCUCUUUGGACUUCCGUCUCUUCAAAAUCGGAGCUCACAUAUUUGAGGAAGAGAGAGAGUAGAGAGAGACAAAUAAGAAAAUGGGUGAGAGAAAGUGAGGAAUAACCCAUUUAUAUGUGGGUAUUUUAAUAAUUUCAGUUUUGUGCAUAAUGUGCAAUUUGUCCUAUUUCAAUCUCAAGAUUAAGAACCUAUCCCAUUUUUUGGGUAUUUCCCUUUUUCCCCUCUUUCCUCCUUCCUCUCUUUUCUUUUUCCUCCAGCUUUUUCCCAUUCCAUCUAUUCUAGAGCAUCCUAGCUCUCUCCUCUAAUUUUUGCUUUGUUUAUUAUGUAUUUUGGUCCCACCACAAUGAGUAUCAAGAAAUUCACUAUAGCUUUAAAUAAAAUGGAACUUUGGUAAAUCUUUCAACUACGAAGAUUAAAUUUGAUCACUUUGAUCAUAAAUUGAAUUACAAGGUUUAAACCCUAUUCAUCGUACAAUUUAGUUAAAUAAUUAAAAUGCAAGUGUAGGGUGUCGCAAGUACAAUAAACCAUUCUAACACACAAAAUUAACAUACUUGUUGACACACUUUUUUCAUACAUAUGAGCUUUAUCAUGGUAUUUGGGUAAUGUCUACUUGUGUGUCCAACUAGCAUUAUCAAUAGUAAUAUUUCGACAUGGUGUCAACCAAAUGUUAAAGCUGAUUGGUAGUAUUUUUUAUAUCAUCUGUCGAGAAGAAACCUAUAAUAUAGUGAAGACAAUUAACAUUGCUACUUUGGAAAUAUAGAAAAUGUUAAGUAGGAAUAUCAUGCGAAAAUCACAAUGAACAAAUAGUUAGAAUUUAAACUUUGAUGGUUCAAUUCGUUAUUCUGAAAAAUCAAUAGCUGGAUUUGUUAUUACUUAUUAGACUCCAACAAAUAUACCUUUGUAGUGGAAGAUGAAGUUAUUGGUUUAAAAUAUGGCUUGAUUUUACCACAAUGAUUCGGCUGCAAUGUCUUGAGGUUGAAGGAAAUUUUCAUAUUUAUCGAAAAGAAAAUAUAGUAGAACUUCGAUAAUAUGAUACCCAAUAAAUUAAUAACUUCAGUUAAAUAAUAUUUUUGACCAGUCCCGACUUGGGGACAACGUGCUAAAUUAAUGAUUCGCUAAAUUUAUAAGAUAUAUAUUAUAAAAAAAUUCAUAUAGGUCCACAAUAAUAUAUAAAUUAAUAGUUUGUUGAUACAUAAUGUUUAUUAUUCGACUAUAAUACAUAUUGCUUAUAUUUUUUAGUGCUACCUCGAUUAUCUUCUUUCAUUAUUUAUUUAUUUACAUCUUUCAGAUGAGAAGUCAUUGUUGUAUGUAUGAUGUGCUAUGUUAUAAUGGCUUUGGUUUAUCUAAAUAGAGUUUUUUGCUCGGUUAAAUGUUCAUAAAAUAGAAUAAUGUAGUACAUUAGAACAAUGUACAAUCUAUUUUUGAGAAAAAUUAGUAGAUUCAGGAAUUUUAACUUGAUUAAACAUAUACAUUGAAUUGUAUGUCGUAAAAAGAAAAAUUAAAUAUGAUGUACAAUAUUUAAGAAAAUAAGGAAUACCUUCGUAAAUUAAUGAGUUAUUUAUUUCCACCCAUAUUGUGUCCCCGAGGGGACAUCAAACUGAAAUUUCUACCAUAAAGAAUUGUUUCUUACAUGUAAGAAAUUUUUCCUUUUUAAGAUUAUAAGCAUUCUGCAGCUCAAAGAAAUUUAGUUUGUCUCAUGAUUGGUGCACUCAAAAUAUAUAUAAUAGUAGGUUUAUAUUCUAAUCAAUUCUAAACACUGAACCAGGCAAAAAUACAUUAUUUAUGAACGGUUAAUGAAAUCGAGGGAUUCAUGGCCUCAAUCUCAUAUGAGAAUUUGUGGGUUUGGUUGCUCAUGUCAAUUUUCGUUUUCCAUUGGCUAGGACCAGUCACAUUGAAGAAUCCAAACUCUGAUUCCAUAUAUAGCUUUCUAAGCCACGCGCAAACCCCACUCUUUUCUCCUCUAGUGGUCAAAUUUCUUUGCUCCUUCCAUUAACCAAGAAUUAUACAUCUUGCUAAUGUCAUAAACAUGUACAUUUUUUUGUGUACCAAAAAAACUGAGUGGGGCCAUUUGUUCCCUCUGGGCCUAAGGUGGCUCUGUCCAUGAUGAUAGUAAGAGUUCGUACCAAGAUAAUAUGGUGCUUUAAUAGGCCUUGAUAAAAAAUUAAAAAAAAUUAAAAUUAAAAAACAUUGAAAAAGAAAUUAAAAAAAAAUUGCCGGAGAUUUUAAUAAUCCGAACAAUCAAGAAUCAAAUUUUAAAAUUAAGAAUUUUGAGCCUUUUCUUUUUAUCUUUUUGGUUUUCCUUUAAAUUCACAAAGUAUUUGUAACAUCCCACAUCGUCCAGGAGAGUGAUCCUUAAAUGUAUAUUCACAUCUCUACCUAGCACGAGGCCCUUUAGGAACUCACUGGCUUCUGGUUCCGGAGGAACUCCAAAGUUAAACGAGAAGAAGGCCAGAGCACUUCCAGGAUGAGUGACCCACUGGGAAGUUGCUCGUGAGUUCCCAAAAACAAAACCGUGAGGGAAUGGUAAGCUCAAAACGGACAAUAUGGUGCUAUGGUGGUAGAGCGGGCCCGGAAUGUGGUGGACCCAAGCCAGAAUGUGACGGUAUUCAUACAAACUUUGAUUUAGAAAGGGUUUAAAGUUUAUACAGAAAGUGGAGUAGCAAUGAGGAGGACAGGUGCAAUGAUAUAUUUCUUUCUUCCCUACUUGUGGAUAAAGACAUGGAAAAAUAAUGUACAUGGGAAUGUAAGGCUGUACUUCCUUUGAAAAUUGUUUGAAAGCAAAGCUAGCUACUCGGAGAAGCAAUUGCCUUGAAAAUUAUUAGUACAUUUUUGUUUUCUUCAUUAAUGUGAAAUCACCUCAAACCAAAUUGUAAGAAAACACAAAAAAGCUGAUAUUUGAUUGUUUAAAUUUUAAGUUAUUCAAGAUUUAAGUUGUUUCCUUUACUAAUAUAUUCACGGAAUCAAGUACCCUUUCUUCUGAUCGAUCUCUUUAUUGUGUAAAAGAAUUAAUAUUGUGGCACUAAAUCACCGUCAUAUAUCUGACUUGUUAUUUUGUCCCUCCUUUUAAGUUCUUUAAUUUGAAGAAAAAAAAAAUGGCUUGUAGCAGAAUUUUGGCCUCCAUAAAAGUCCUUCACAUUUGCUUGCGAAUUAUAAUAAAAUUACAAGACUCCAAAACGCAAAGCUAUUCAAUCCGAAGUUGUCAACUUGAAACAUUAGUCCUAGGAUUUGCGUCCAAUUGAAUCUUUGGUCCUACAAUAAAAACUUGUGAGUUUUGAUCCUAAGCUUGUCAUAAAGUGGAGGAGAACCGAUCGUUUUGGAUAACAUUGUUACAAUUUUUAUUCAAAUAAAGGGUUUAAAAGGACAAGGUAUUAGUAUGCACUCAAUUACAUAUGAUUUUAGCCAUCGAAGUUAUUUAGUUAGUUUAAUUAGAUGAUUAGUUGAGUUGUUAUGUUAAUCUUAAUUACAGAAGAUUAUUGUAUAGUAUAAGUAUUUGAACGUUUCUUACCGAAUGUAAGUAAGAUCAUAUUGUUCAGUUCAUAAAAAAAAAAAAAGGUUCUCUUUCUUCUUCGUUUGCUCUGCAACCUAGGAGACUAUCUCUGCUUUCAUGGUAGUUAUACAAGAACAUGAGUGAGAGCAUUCACAUAAUAACCCUAUCCCCGUCCUCCUAUCACUCCAUAGCAUAUCCGACCUCGCCUUUUUUUAUAAAUUUUAUUUUUAUAAUUUUAAUAAGCACAUGCAUAGCAUGUGUUCAAUUGCUAGUAUUUAUUAAAAAACACUAGAAAAUAUUUUCUUCAGAAGCCAAUGUCAUGUGCUUUUACGAUCCAUAAACAUUGUUAAAAACAAUUACAAGUAUGUUGGUUGUUAGAAAACAGUUUACUCUUUCAAAAAUAAUCUUAAAAACUCAAGUUUAAAAAUAUCCUUAAUCACGAUACGAGAAAUUUACAAAAAUACAUAUAUAUUAUUGAUUACAUGCAAGUUUCUCCUAUCAAUCUUUCACAAUGGCCAAAGUGCACGCUCAUAUCUGUUACUUCAAACUAAAGAGCUUUAAUAGUGACAACAUUUAAUCUAUUAUCUUUCCCCAAUUCAUGAGUUAAGAACUUGAGAGAGAGGAGAGAGAGAUAUCUCAAUAUGCGUGUGUACGAAGUGAUUUGGUCGUCUUCUAAGAAAGGGAACUGAAGUUGACACGAGAGGAGGAAAGCAGGCCAAGGCCUCCAUUAUCAAGAUUCCUUCGGACGUUUCUCCAGAGACGUGUGCUUCCCUCAAGCCUCGGGGGCCCCACCUACACCUUACCCUGUAGGGCCCACCUCGGAAACUAGCACCCUGCUGCUUCCCUCUCCAAUCCGGCAAAUUUUUAUUUGUAACCGGAACACGGAUGAUACAUCACGUAUUUUUAUAUAAGUUAUGAUAAUUUGUAUUUUUCAAGUUAUAAACUUUUUAACACACAUAUUCCAUAAUUUAUAUAGUGACACGUAAUGUACCACCUGUGUUCCAAUCACAUUGAAAAAUUUCACCUCCUAUCCCAUGCAUCUAUAAAUUCAGGUCGAUGGUGCAGAGCUUGGAGAUACAGCAAGCAAAAUACCAUUCAAGCGAAAACCCUAAUUUAAACACAUCUUCAGCUCCAAGUUCUUAAGUUUAUCUUCAACAUGUCGGGCAAGUGCGGCAACUGCGAUUGUGCUGACAGCUCCCAGUGCGUGUAAGUAGUGCUUCUUUAUCAGUUUAUUUAUGGAUGUUUGAUUCUUGCAUACAAGGUUAAGUAUAAAUUUCUCUCAUGCACAACAAAUAAUUAGCACUUGACGCUAUGGUGAUGGUGUACUUGUCUUGUGAAAGUUUUUCUCAUGUAUAUAGACCAUACAAAUGGGGAGAUCUUGGAUAUCCUUGAGGGUAUGACACCAGAGAUGUAUCACCAGAGACUAAACCCUAGCUAUAGCGCUAGUCAAAUCAUGUCAUGUUACGAGUGCUAUAAGAAUAUGGUGAAAUGUGUCCUUGGUGACACCUGAAUCUUUCUCCAAUAUAAGGGAUCCUCAUAAUUGUUUUCUACAAGGACUAUUCAUUAAUAUUUUACUCACUUAAUAACAAGAUUAUAUAAGGUAGUUUACUUGCUUAAAUGCAAAAGAAUUGAUGGAGGAUUUUAACCAAACAUUUUAGUUUACAGUUUAAUGAUAUUUUUCUUUUAGCAUUUAACGUGUUCCAUUUUGGAUUCACCUUUUUCGAUCUAGUUGGUGUAUACAUUCCAUCCAAGUAUUAACAUGCCAAUUCUUUGAAAUUGCAGGAAGAAGGGAAACGGCUACGACUUGGUGAUCGUGGAGACUGAGAACCGGUACUUUUCUCAAAAAGCUUCAAUACAUUCAAGUCUAAAAUUUUCUUCCCUUUGUUUCCUUUCGACUAUAUGUUAAAGACUAAUUAUGGAGAAUUAAUAUAUCUUGAUUUAAUUUGCAGCUCCAUGGACACCGUCGUCGUGGACGCUCCUGCAGCCGAGAACGACGGAAAGUGCAAGUGUGGCACAACCUGCCCAUGUGUGAACUGCACCUGUGGUCAGUAAGCCCAGAGAACCAAAUUAAGAUGUGAUUAAUAAAAGUGUCAUAUUAAUUAAGGGAUUAUAGACCCUUAAUUAAUGAAAAGUGUUUGUGGGAAAAAAUAACUUUGUGGCUUUGUCUUUCGUUUGCUUAUAGUAUUUGAGUCUGUUGAGUGACAUGUUGUACGUCUGUGAAAACAUGUCACUCAUAUGUUUGUGUUUCUGUGAUUGUGUCAUGUAAUGGCCAUGUUCAUGGCCCUUUGAUUUAUAUGCAAAUAUUAGAAUACAUGCUAUGGCUCUGUUAAUUACCAUCUUAUUUUUCAUCACCCAUAAUUUUGUUUCGCAUCAUAGCUCCAAUUAAUCAUGAAAAUUGAUGCAGCUCCAGUUAAUCAUGAAGUUGAAGAGAACGUAAUAUACGUACCCCUACAUAAAAUACUAUGGAUAUUGAUGGACUUAUAGUUCAAGUAGUUUAAUAUACCUUUCAAUCUGAUCUAAGGUUUGAUGUUCGAUUUCUCCUCUGUUAACACCGUUGGUAUUAAGAAACAAAAUGAAGACAAAUAUGACGGAUAUGUCCAUUAUGUUCUCUAUUUGAAACCCUUUUGGAUCUAGGGAUUGCUAGCUAGUAUGCUCGAUCAUCUUUAUUUAGCACUUCAAGAUGUUUUGAUUCCGUUUGCUCUUCCUUUGAGCAACCAAAACGAAUGGCACAAAAACGAAGAAUUAGAAAUCCCAUUUCACUGUAUUGGUGGUGUGAAUAGGGAGAGGGUGUCUUAAUUUUUUCUCACAUGGUCUCGCUUGAUUCGUUUGAGAUAGCGCCAACUAGGCGUCUAUAUUUCAUUUAAUUCCUCAUGAAUAAGAGGUUAGAAAGGGAUUAGUUUAUCUGAGAUAUUGAGAUGACAUAUUGUAACUUUAUAAAUUUUGAUGGGCGUAACUGUAAAUCUCAACAAAAUUACGUAAAAUACAAGUCAAAUAAAGAAGCUCUCCUUGUAUUAUUCUUCAACGUUCAAAUAUUAUUAUGUUGUAUGUCUAAACCUAAAAUAAAUGGUUUCCUUUCAAAACUGUUCAUGUAGCCUUCAACUUAUUAUCUUAACCAUCUCCGGCAACUUCAAACAUUGAAGCCUUCUGCACGUAGGCACUUGAGAUGAGCAUCGAUCCAUUUUGUGCAAGCGUCUUGACCAUGCUCCACAAUGCAUUCAUCUCGCAGCUUCUUAGUAUCCGGGCAAGCACAGCAUAUCUUCUUCUUCGGCUUUGUGUCCAGGGCAGGAGUAGUGACUGCUGACCCUUGAUUUGGCUGCGACCCUUUCAAAACCAAGGCAGAGGAAGUAUAUUCCGCUGGCAGUCCACCCAUUUCUCAAAUUUCUUGAAGACCUAUUAGAAAUACACUAUUAAAAACCGAAAAAAAAUACAAAGAACAUCAGCUUCGACUCAGAGCAGCCUUGAUGUUAAACAUGUAUUCAUUAAGGGCGGUAUACACCAUAUCUUACCUAAACAGAGAGAAUGGAAAAAAGAGAUACGGCGUCUUACUUUACUAGAACACAUCCUAAAAUUCAUUGAUCGCGCAUUAGCCUAAUCACUAGACACUAGCUCAUGUAAAACGAAGGAAAUCACCGUAAAGGAAAAGCCCGUUUAUUUAAGCAUGCAACGAGUUCAGAUCAACUAAACCACGCCUCUAAAUUCCAUUAAAUACAGAAAUCAAUCAAUUGAGACCAACCCUUUCAUAUCAUAGCAAAGGUGAACCAAUUUCAAUACUGAAGCAAUUCAACCAAUCUCCCAAAGUACUGGUAAGAGCCUAUUUACCAGCUUCUUUCAGCUUCAAACCGAAAAUCCGUUUUCCUACUAUUUUACUUGAAUUCAAAAUUCUCCAAACGGGCACUAAUCUACAGAAGGAACUCAAAACUAAAAACCCAAAUGAAGUAAUAAACUUUUUUCACACUGAUUCCGGAUUUCAAUCAAGAUUCAAGACACACCCUUUAUCCAAUACCCACUCUGGCAUUCCUUCAAGCACAUGGUGGGCACUUUGUUACUACAAUCAACUCCAUCAUACAUGCUAUACAUUUACCAGAACUAGCAGAAACUACCAAUACAAAGGGAAAAACAGAAAACCCAGAAGAAAAUUAAAGCAACCCAUCUAAUCAAACACGAAGACAGCCAUAACCACAGAGAUUUUGGAACCUUACAUCUAAUUUAUUGGAUCUCAGAAGGGUAACGAAAUUUGCAACAGAAAUGUAUGCGAAAAGGAUGGAAUUACUUACCAAUGAUACGGAAGGUGGAGAAGCUGAAACGAAGAAGCUUUGCGUCUUCUGCAGAAAUUGGGAGCAGCGAAAAGGUGUUUCUCUGGAGACGAAAGUGGCCGCUCAAAAUUUCAAGGCUUAAACUGGGCCGCGUAUGAGUCGAAAGGUCAACCAUGUGUUGGGCUCAGUGGGCCUACACAAAAUAUGCUGAAAAGUUUCAUUUUUUAAUUUUUUUUUUUAAUAAACGAUAUUAUUUACACGAAAUGAGAGAGUAAGGAUUUAAUCUCAUAAUAGGUUAGCAAUAGUUCAAAUUAAUAUUUAUCAAGUGUCGAUGAGAAAUGAAUACUACUAGACAAUAGUACUAAGUGGCUUUUUUUUUUUUUUUUUAAUUUUGUUAGUGAUAAAAUAAACAUUUGGACGAACACAAAGCAAUAUGUAAAUUGUUAGGAAACCAGGGGACUUUUUGACAAUACAAAUCUCCUUUAAUGUAACGUGAUUAUAGCCGUUAGAUUGACAAGUUUACUCAGACUUCUCUAGUAAGAUAUAGAUUAAUCAACACUAUGUUGAGAGUGAUCUCAUGAUUGCACAGCCAACUAUUAUCAUGAAUUCCAAAAAAUGCAAAUGUGAGUUACCUCAAUUGGUCACACAUUGUCACGAAACCAAGUAAAAGACACGAAUAAAUGCAUUUGUUGUCAUUUUAUUCAUUCCUUAAUGUGAAAAUUUACAACAGGGACACAAGCGAAUGUGCAAAAUUGCAAAUAAACAAGAGAGUUUGUAGAACAUGUUCAAGAUUAACAAGAUCCAAACAACCUAUAAACUAACCAGAAGUGAAAUCUUAUCUUUGUUUUUCUCUAUCUGCAAUUCUUGUAGUUACCAGAAUUCAACGUCAUUUGUUUUGUUAGACAAAAUCAUUCCAAUUUCCAACAUGAUCAAGAAGUUGAACAACUCGAAAUAUAAGAUACUCCCGAGCACCUUAGAAGUUUCGCAGCAGAGCAAAUGCAAUUCUCUACUAAUCAUACUUCUCCCUCCAUGAGUACACAAGAAGUAACACCCAUGAAAGCGCCAAUGUGACGUCACCGGCGACAUGUUUUGGCCAGUCUCCGGCGAGCUCUUCGAGGUUCCUCUCGAAGUAAACUCUCCAAAUGGCCAUGGAAAUGUGGAGCAACACGCAACCCUUGGCAAAGAAGCUCUGGAACUUAUGGUCUUUGACAAAAGCAACCAUGAACAGAAGGAAUCCAAUGGCAAACAGAAGGAAUCCGGAGAAGGAAUCCGCUGUUCGGAUCAAAAGCCGGUCGUGAGGCGUCGACCCUUGGAGCUUGCUUGCUGUCUCAUGGCCAUGGCUGAACACAGAGAAUUCGUAGGAGUAGAACAUCAUGAAAGCUCCACAAAUCAGAGCAAUCACAGAGUGGAGCAUGCAUAUUAGAAAAAACCCAGAUAACCCCAUUGCUCAAAAUCCCAAGUAAAACACUAAUCUUUCUUCUCUUCACAAAUAAACUUCGAGACGUGGGCGUAGUCACAUUAGCCAGAAAAGACGUGCUCCCCUGUGCACCGAGUUUGAAUCCCCUUCUCCUCCGCAGUUUACAAUAUCGCAAAAAGGAUCACAUAUAUAUCAAAAACCCUAAACCCUGAACUCUCACUUCACAAAUCCCAGAAACCGGAGCAAGUAAAUUGAUCAGAAGCCAACCUUACUUAGCUUCCACUCUAAAACUCAAAAAACCCAGAUGCUAGAUUGACCCACAGACCAAGAUUUCAAGAUUUUUAAGAUUUGAAAUAAAGAAUCAAACCUCAAACAAGGAAAACCCUAAUCUUAUUUAUCAAUGUUUUCCACAUGAUUUAAAAAAACAAGGGGGUUUUGCAUUUUUGGCAGAGUGAAGAGAGGAAAGAGGAAUGGAGCUUGGUUGAGAAAUUUCAGCAACUACAACAUGCCGAUUGGCAGGGGAGGGAUUUUUCUAUUUGUGGUGAAUUAUUUUAUCUGAUUUUAUUAGCUGCAGAAAUUUAAAGAUGCUAUAAAUGGAAAGGAUUAUACAGAUUUAAACUUUGCUUCUGUCUACAAAACCCCACAGCUCAUGAACAUUUUCUGGUUUCUUCCUUGUUCUGCAAAUCAAUUGGAACAUUUGUGGGGGUCUACAUUAUUUUUCUAAUUUUCUUUAGGUUGUAUUAUUACUAAAUUGACCAAAAAAACAUAGAAUACACCAUAUCUAGAAAAUAUUUCCUCACAUCCUUUUUCAGAAGAAAAUUAAGAAAAAAAUGUAUUUUUUAGGAGGCUCAUAAAGACUUUUGUCCCUCUUUUGAAGAUUCUAUAUUUUGUCUUUUUUAAGUUGGGAAAAUUUGAAAUACGUCCAAUUUUAUAGGCAUACUUUUGAAAUAGGUCCAAUUUUUAGUUACUUUGGACCAUGGUCUAAAAUAUCCAUAAUAUCCCGAUAUUUUUAUCAAAAUUUCCGUGUUUUUGGACUACCGAUAUUUUUUUGGACUACCGAUAUUUCCGAUUUCAUCGAUAUUUUAGACCUUACUAAGUCACUCAUGUAUCUUACCAUGCAAUGUAUAAAGUGCAAAAUAUUGUAUUAAUUUAUUAUAUAUAAAUAAUUAUGGUGUGUUUAAACUUUUUUCAUUAAUUACUACAUAUUUUCUACACUCACAAUGUUUGACAGCUCGCUAUAUAAUCAACUUAAAUCAGUUAUAUCUAUCAUGCAAUUCAUUUCCUUCCAAUUUUUUGUGAUAAACUAAUAGAUAAUUGACUAAAUAAACAUUCUGCAAAGUUUCAAUAAAAAUUUCCAAGUUUUUCUUACAAUUUUCGUGGUUUUUAUUCAAUUUCUAUCGAUAUCGAUAAUAUCCCGAUAUUUCCAUCGAAAUUUCCGUAUUUUUAGACUACCGAUAUUUCCGAUAUUAUCGAUAUUUUAUACCUUACUUUGAACUCAUAUCAAAAGAUCCCUUUUAAAUUUGAAAGAAAGAGCAUCAUUACGUGAGCUAUUUUAAGAUACUAGUAACGCCUACAGUUUUAUCUUAAAAAAAAACGCAUCUUUAAUGGGAGAUACAAGUUGCUUCGAGAUUGACAUAUUAUAUUUUUAUUUUAUCGGAAAGCCUUGUAAUGGAGAAAUGUAAGUUAUCCAUCUUUGGAUGUGGGUUUCGUUAGUCGAAGAGAGAAAAAUAAAUGAGAUCCAAAUUUACAUUUUUUUUGUUGGAGUACAACUCAUAUUUAGAUUUAUUUUUAAUGUAAAAUAAGAUGUAAAUGUGAUAUUUACGUCACAAAAUUUACAAUUUUCUAUCAGAGAUGUUCUAAAAGCGGUGAAAAAAUUCAAACUCUCGAAAAAAAUAUUUGAAAAAAAAAAUGAAUUGUUAUUAGCAUUCUAAAAUUCUCAUUCUACACUCCAAACUUUUUAUAUUUAGAAAGAAAACUACAUUUGUGAGGAGUACAGAAUGAGAUUUUUAGAGUGUCAAUAAUACUUCCCAACAAAAAUCAUUUCUAAAUAAUUAGCCCAAAGAGAAGUGCGUUCACUUCACGUCUUAAGCUGUCUUACCAUGACUCAAUGUUUUUUUAAUUAGGAAGCUCACGUCUUGCAGAUGUCUAUGGAUUCAUUGGAGGAGGGUCCCUUAAAUUUUCUAAAAUAUUGAGUCUUGUUUAGGAAAAAAAUUUCCUUGUAACCGGAACACGGAUGAUACACCAUGUGUUUUUAUAUAAGUAGUGGGAAAUUUUAUUUUUUUAAUUAUUAACUUUUUAACACACAUAUCACAUCAUUUAUAUAAUGACACGCGAUGAACCACAGCAUGUUACCGUCAUAUUGAAAAAUCUCUCAUUGUUUAGCUCAUUGCAAACGCAAGUAGUUAUUUUUUUAAUAAUUAUACAAAAACAUCUCAUUAAACCCACAUAAGAGAAAGUUUUUGCUCGUCAAAUCAUGAUUUUUCUAAAAAAAGAAUGAUAACUUCUUGUGCGUAAAUGAAAGAUUACAUCGCCAUGCUAAGAAACCCUUCAAACUAAACUUGUUCUUUUUCACAAUGUGAGCUGGUGCUGUCAGAAUCUUGUGCAUCUGCAUAUAAAAAUUAUCUAAAGUGGAUGCACAAGAAAAUGAAUGCCAAGGGUUUGAUGGAUGGUUGGUUGUAAAUGUCCAUGUACAAAGUAAGCUGUAUUGCUUUGUUCUCUCCUGCACCAACCCAAUGACAACUUUACUAUAUCUUAUACAUUGAGAUUCACAUAACAUUAGAAGUAAUCAUCAUCAUAUGAUUCAUAUGUGACCACCACCUCACUUGCAGGCUACAGCUGUGGAAGUGCCCAUUCUUUUAUCCAUAUUAUUAGCGGUCGAGUUUAACCUAUUUAUAUUUGUGUUGUGGCCCUGUCAAUCUACAGGUUGAUUAACAUACAAAAUGACUUUAAAAUAAUAAUUUAAUGAUACAAUAGCCUGCGUUAUUCUUCAAACAUUUGAGAAAAAUUAUUGUUUAAUUGUUUCCGCGGAGUUUUUAUUUUCAUGUUAAUUUCAAAUCAUGUAACAUGUCUUGUUUGGAAAUUGUCAUUCUUGGUAUGUUGCUCAAGAGAAAAUUUUUAUUAUGCUCGGAAAAUGAGUGGUACAUCACGUGUCAUUAUAUAAAUAAGGGAAAUUUUAUUUUUCAAGUUGUUAAUUUUUUAACAUAAAUAUCUCUUCACUUGUAUAAUAAAACGUGAUGUACCACUAGAUAAUCUCGUGUUGCUCAAUCCCUCAAAUUCAUCACGCACACUUACCAAUGCAUAGCCAACUAAUGGCCAUAGUAUGGGAUCACAUGAUUACAGCCUCUUUACGAACCAAUGCUCUAAUCAAAGCAUCAAUCCCUGCUUCUUGCAAAAGCAAACCUCCUCUCCUCUACCCUCGCCUUUCCUCUCCCCCCUUCUAAAACCUCCAUUUUCUCUAAUCAAUUUCUGAAUCUCUAGUGCUUGUAUGUUAAUAGCUUUGCUGACAACAAAAUUUUAUCCAGGUCAGCUAUAUGAAUCUUAGAACGUCACUGUGCUCAGUUUUUUGUCAUAUCUUCCGCUAGAUUCAAGUAAUCCAAGUCUCUUCUUAAAGUCUCUUCCAAGUCUUCCUCUACCCCUUUGGACAUGAGUCUCUGUCUCGUAAUCUCAUAUUCUAACUGGGGUGUUUUGUAGGUCUUCGUUUUAUAUGUCCAAUUGUGACUACUCUUAUCUUCAAUUGUGGCUACUCUUAAUUUAUCUUGGAUAUCUUCGUUCAUAAUCUUGUCAUUUUUCGUGUACCCAUACAUCCAAGGAAGCAUUUUCAUCUCCGCUACACUCAUUUUGUGUAAGUGAAUGCUUCAUCGCCUAGCAUUUCAUGCCAUAAAUCAUUGCUAGCCUUAUUAUCGUCCUAUAAAAAUUGUCCUUGAGCUUUAAUGGCAUACGAUAGUCGUACAACACAUACGAUGCACUCUUCCACUUCAUAUAUUCAGCUUGUAUUCUAUGAUUAAGGGCUCCAUCCAAUUCUCUGUUCUUUUGCAAGAUAGAUCCAAGAUAGUGAAAGCGUUAAUUCGCUCUUUGGUACUUUUUGAUCUCCAAUCCUCACGCCUAACUCAUUUGAACAUCCACACUCUAAACUCAUUUGAACCUCCAUUCCCACUAAACUUGCACUCCAUAUAUUUUGCCUUUGAUCUACUUAAGCGAAGAUCUUUAGAUUCUCACACUUCCCACCAAAGAUUAAACUUCGUAUUUACUUCCUCCUGCACAUAUGUAACCAAAUCUUCCUACCCCGUGACAUAUAAAUUGUGACAAAGGGAGAGGGAGAUUACAUUUUCCUAGUCAAAGAGUUCUCAAAGGAAAAAUGAAAAGAAAAGAAAAAUUAGAAUGUCUUGCUGUCUCUACUACACCACCAGCAACCUUAGGAUGGCGCUUCUUAUCUCCUCGUCCACGCUUUUGAGAAAUCGUCUUCCUGAUUGGAGUCUUUACAAAAAUGUGGUACCCUGUGGCAAAGAAGGUGGACGGCGAAUAAUAACCCUUGGAGGCGGGGGAGGAGGCAUGUGCUCCAGUAACUCUCUGUGGUAUACCUGUACAUUGCAAAUUUGCAAUCCAUAUGAACAUAUAAUAUGUAAAGCUUAUGCAUUCAAAAGAAGAGAAAAUAAAAAGAGACAGGACCUUAAAACAUAGUUCGGCAUAUUAUAUACUUAGUCACGUCAACAUAGCACCGUUACCACAAUAAUGCAUCCAAAUCUCCAAGAUUUCAAUACACAGAUGCAACCUUCUAGGGUACUAAACGGGAAGACCUAGCGGCUCCACUGAACCGCGCGACUCUACAACACCCUGACAAGCCCAAAAAUAUUCCAAAUAAACAAGCGAAACACGUUGAUUGAAAUGCAGUAAUAUAUUUUCAAACCCCAUAGGUAUUACUCAAAAAAAUUUAUACCAGAAGUACAAAAUCGUGCCUUUCACAAUCCAGAAAUAUAUUCAUGCUCCAAUCAACUUUUCCCAUUAUUUUAGCUCUCACUGUGGAAAAACUUAACUGAUCCCUGGAGGUAAAACGAUCAACUUCGUUGAACCAAUUGCAGCUAAAUAAAUUUGUGAUGGGGAUAUCAAUGGCGCUAUAAAACCGACAAAAAACACCACUUAUUGUCGGAUUUUUUGUAAAAAUCCGACAUUAAAUCGUACAAUGUCGCAUAAUGGAACCGACGCCAAUACUACUGUUACAAAAGGGUAUUGGCGUCACUUAUCUCCCUUUAACCCGCCACCAAGAACCAAAGUAAUAUAAAAUAAAAAAGAACAACAACGUUGCUUAAAAGCAACGUCAAGCAACAAUUAAAGAAUUAAAAUAUCAAACCUACUGUCGGUCCUAACCAACAUCAACAGUUAAAAUAAUAAAAAAAAUCUAAAUUAAUUAAUAAUAAUAAACAUUUUAUAUCACAAGUAACAUACAAAAACUCAUCUGCCAUUGCCAAGAUCUCAACUUUACAUAUCAAUUUCCAAAACCCAUUACAAAUCAUAAAAACCCCAUUACAUUCUGCUGAAAUUCGAAACCCUAAGAUUUGGGGAUUUCUUAAGCCCUCUCGCCCCUACAUACCACGUACGCCUCUGCCGCCUCCUGGAGCGUAGACACCGCGCUGCUCUGGAACCUCAGAUCGGUCUUAAAGUCCUGUGCGGUCUCCCGCGCCAGGCUCUGGAACGGCAGCUUGCGAAUCAAGAGCUCAGUGCUCUUCUGGUACUUCCUGAUCUCCCUUAGGGCAACAGUUCCCGGCCUGAAUCGAUAAGGCUUCUUCACUCCUCCGGUCGGGGGAGCAGAUUUCCGAGCAGCCUUAGCUGCCAGCUGCUUCCUUGGUGCCUUACCUCCGGUGGACUUGCGAGCAAUCUGCUAGGUACGAGCCAUUUGGGAAGAUGAAAGUGGAAGACUGAAGGGUUUGGGAAGUGUUUGUUUCUCGGGAAAAUUGGAGAGAUUUUGAUUUGGAUUGGAUGGAAAAUGGCUGAGGGUUUGAGUGGUAUUAAUUACGAUUUGGAGAGCAGAGGAAUCGCGGGAAGUUUGAAAUUUUGUGAUUUCGUGUGAACAUUUUGGAGGAGGGGUUUAAAAUUUUGUAAUUUCGGUUUAAUGAAAAUUUGCGUCGGUUAUAACCGACACCAUAUUCUGACACACUUUAUUAAAUACAUGCAGCGUCGGUUUAAAUGGAUUCAGUGUCAGUUAAAAACGACAGUACAUCUGACAUACUAACUGCGGGCUGACGGCCCCCUUCCCAAGUGACUGAUUGAAUUUCUCUUCCCAAGUGACUAUUUAAUAAAAAUUAAAAUUUAUGUCAGCUACAACUGACACUGGCUAUAAAAAUAUUUAAAAACUAUCAUUAGUGUCAGAAAAAAGCGACAUUAGUCUUCUUUUAACCAACGCUAACAUUAUGUUGGUUAAAAGCGACACCACUGUUAAAAAAUAUUAAAAUCUAUGUCGAUUAUAAGCGACAUUAACAUUUUAUGUCGGUUAUAAACGACAAUAAUUACGACACCUUGUAAACUAGGUGUCGGAAUGUCUUAAGCGCCACUAUGUUUUAUAAAAGCGACACCAACCACUGAUACAAUAAGGCCAUUUUGUAGUAGAUUACUGAUAGUUAAGCAAACACCAAGUUGCUGUAUGAGGCAGGGUAGUAAUUUCAAAUUCCCAACCAUGCUACUACAAGCGUGCACAUAGCAUUAGUCAGAACAGAAGUGUACCUCUCUAAGACUUGAAACGGAAUCCGGAUCCUCACCGGUGAGGAUUCCGGGGAUCCGUGAAUUAUAUCCGUUCAUCGUACAUCAUGCGGUUAUAAAUUAUUUUAAAUAUUUUUAUUUAAAAUUAAAUACAAACAGUACUUGACAAAAACUAACUGCACGAUAUACGAUAAACGAGCACGAUUUACGAAUUCCCAACACAUCACCAAAAGAAUCCGGAGAGGAUCCUGUUGGUGAAACGGAUCCACCACAAGCCAAAGCUUUCCAUCAAUCCAUAUAGAGUAUCUAACAUUGGGGAAAAUCUAUGCAAUAGAAGCUUCGGAAUCUGCCACAAAUACAUUAACAUCUAAAAAUUUCCCCAAUGCCUUUUAAUCCGGAUAUUUGGAGCAAACUCUGGACAGCGCCCCACUAUUUCUAUUAAGACUUAAGAAAAAUGCUAAUACUAUGUUUGGAUGAGACAAAUAAACUUAGAAUUUUGACAAAAGUCAGUUUAUAAAUUUACAUGCACCAAUUUCCUUGUUUGAAUUCAUAAACAUGGAAAUUUUGAAUUUAUGGGUGGAAAAAAACUUUGAAUUUGGAACCUCUAAAUUUCUUGUGAAUAGGUAUCAUUUCUAAAUUUCUAAGAGUAAGAGUUUAAAAAUAACAAAUUUUGUAUUCAAAUUCUAUUAUUCUUUUAGGUUAACUAAAUAAGAAAAUUCACAAAUUCUAAAAAAUAAAAUUUCGUCACUUUAACUUUCGUCCUUUUAAAAUUCCUGCAAGCUUACAUUUCAACGUCAAUUUUCGAAUCAACAUUAUAAAAUAUUGUGCAAAAAAAAUAAGAUGGAGUCCAUAGAGAGCCCCACUUUUAAAAGAGUUUCCUUAAUAUUUUUAUUCUAUUAAAUUAAAUUAAAAGCACCACCUGAUAAAAUAGAUGACAUUGGCAUUGUUUAGCAACUCAAACUGUUCUGACUAUUUCAAUCGAAUAGAAUAAAUAGUCACCGGAUAAUACUGACUAAAUUAGUCGGGCGUUUCGUGCAGUAUGGGACUAAUGACUGUAUUAUUUUUAGGAUUUGGAUCCUCUCCUGAGCAAGGGAGACAGAUCGUCCUGACCCAAACACACGAGCCGUUGAAUCACGGAUCCUCCUGACCCAAACACACGAGCCUUUGGAUUUUGAUCCAACGGUUACAAUAGGGGGCCCUUCUAAAAGUUAUAAUAAUUGUAACCAUUGAUUCAAAAUCUAAUGAUCUGUGUAUUUGACUCAGGAGGCUCCAUCUCCUUUGCUCAUGAGAGUAUCCAAAUCCUUAUUUUUACUAUGUUUGGCAACCAAAUAAAAAAAAAAGAAAAAAAAAAUUGACAGGGAGCAAAUCCUAUCUUCACGAUAGGAAGCAAAUGAAAAGCCCCCAAAUUAUAGCAAAACCUAAUUUGAAAAAAAAAAAAAAAAAAAAACUACUGAAAAUGGCUUGAAAAUUUUGAGUUUUAACGAUGACAAAAUAAAGGAUAAAAUGAAUAGUACCAUAAUUGACUUUUUAGUGUAAAAAUAUGAUUUUUCGUUAAAGUAAACAGUACCGAGAGUUUUUCGUUAAAGUUUCCUUGAAAAAAAGGGUAAAUUAAGGAUUUUUCUUUGGCAGCUUUCGUCCCUCAGUGGUCUGCAGUGGUUCAAAGCAAUCGGAUCUUUUGCGAUGUGGGGGCGAUGCGAUGGAUUUUGUGCUUUCUAGGUUUGGGCUCGUGCAGUGGUUCAAGGCGGCAACAAUUCGCAACCACGGGAUCUCGUUUCAAGAUACAACAACAAUGGCAGACUCGAGUGCAAGAUGGUGGUGUGAGCAGUUACAGAGAAGCAGUGGGUCAUGGACAGUGACGAUACGAGUUCCCAGAACGAGUUGAUUCAGACGACGAAGAUGACUCUAGACGGCACAGCUCUCCGAUUCUAGUUCUAUCCCCCACCAUGGAUGUUUGAAUAGAGACGUCAUGGCCUGGGUUUAAUUUGCCACUUCUGAUUUUCUGUUUGUAUAUGGUUGAUGUUGAUCAGAGGUGGGGAGGGAGAGAGAAGGAAUAUUUGUAUGAGCAUUUCGCGAUGCGAGCAGAGAGGUUGAGAGUGCGAUUGUGAUUUGCCUGACUAAUUAUACGAAGGUUCUGGGAAGGAUAAAUUAGAGGGUGUGAGGGGUAUUAAAAUGGUGGGACCGGUUUAAUUUAUCCGGUGCUUAAUUAGUACAGAUGAGCACCAAACAACUUCUAUUGUUUUAUAUGGCGUCCCAAACGAGGCUAUUGACUUUUCCUAGCAUCCAUACACAGCAAAAGGUAACACCAAAACCAAUGUUAGGAGUGCCAAUUUAACCAAGACAGGCCAAACUCCAGUUGCAAAGCCCAACGUCUACAGGAUAAAGGUUCAACAACAACUUACCAAGCAGCACUUUGAACAGAACCUGGACCAGAAGUUGAAUGUGAGCUAGAUGUUGUAGCCAGAUCGGUCAAAACUUAUGGUACAUACGACGAUGCAAACUUCUUCAACUUUCGGUUAGGUGGUAAAAGGGCCAGGCCAGUUUGGUGUAGGUAUUAUGCUCAAAUUAGAGUAUUAUACCAUUCUGUGUAUGUAUGAUUUUAUAUCACUUUCCUCAUACAUGCAUGUCUAUGCUUGUUUCUUUGCAAUGGUUCUAUUAAUUCCCAUGAAUCAUAUAAACUAAUCUUAAUAUAAGCAAUGCUAGCUACCCUCCUAUCUGCAUUUCCUUACUAUUGGUAUCAUGGGAUGGGACUAAUAAACAUGGCACGGCGUUCUUUUAUAUUUAAUGUAGAGUAGGUGUUAUUCACAUACUUUUUUUUUUUAACAAACGAUAUUAUCUACAUUAAGGAGGUGAGACACUUAUGUAGUUUCUUUUCUUUUUUUAACAAAUGAUAUUAUCUACACUAAGGAGGUGAGAGAGUGAGUUAAGCCUCACAAUGGUCUAGCCAUAAUAAUCUAGUUCAAAUUCGUCUUUUACAAGAAUCGAACCUAAGAUCUCUCACUUACAAGUGAAAAUGAUUACCACUAAAACGUAAUACUAAGUGGCUAAUAUUGCUUAUGUAGUUAUAUUGAAAGAAAAAAAGUUUUUAACUAAUUGCGAAUUGAACUAGUUGGUCAAGAUUUUAUGCUCUUCCACUUGCGCACAAGUUUAAACACGAAAAAAGAUCCUCUCCGAAUCCACUUUGUGGAGAUCCUAAAGAUCCCCAUAUCCUAGUCGUUCAUCGUACAUUGUGCAGCCAGUUUUCGUCAAAUACUAUUUGUGUUUAAUUUUAAAUAACAAAGUUAAGUUAAAUGAUUUCUUACCGUACGAUACAAGAUGAACGGCUAAUAUGUAAGGAUCCUUAGGAUCCACAGUGAAUCUAAAUGGGAUCCAAUUGCUUUAAACACCCGUUUGAUUAUUAAAAAGUUGAUUAUUUUUAAAGUCAUUUCAAACUCACUUUCAACUUUACCGUGAAAUUGACUUAUAAAGUUCCCAUUAGACGAAUCCACCCUUGUUGGUAUUAGUCACUACCAUCAGCUUGGCGAAUAAUCCUUGAUAACGAUUUAAUCAAAAUCAUAGAACAUUUGAACAAUCUAAAAUAUGACAAUUAUUUUUUCUUGUUUUGCAUGAUUCAAUUUAUGACUUUUAUUGUUUCAUUCCACAAGCUUAUUAAAAAUGUGAGUAAUAGUUUUUUUUUUUUUUUUUUGAGUAAAAAGUGUGAUUGUUGAAAUUUUACAAGAAUUUUUGUGUGUAAGGUAAGAGAAAAAUAUGAGUCUUUGGAAAGUGGUCAUAUCAUUUGAUGAGUCACAUAAGCAAAAAAAUUAAUAAGAAAUAGUUGUGAGCCCUAACACGUUAACAUACCGGAGUUUUGUCAGUUAGAUCAUGAUGUAUGAAUUUCAAAAAACUUAUUGUAUGACAAAAUUUUCAUGAAAAUAGGUUAUAUGACCUUUUUCUUCUUGCAUAUAUUUGCAAAACCAAUUCAAAACCAUGAGCAACAAUUGUUGAAAUAAUAAGGUUUUAAGUGUAAUAAAAUCACAUAGGAAUUUUUUUUUUUUUUACAAACGAUAUUAUAUAUACUAAGAAAGAGGAGGAGAUGACCUUCGCAUCACAAUGGGCUAGCAAUAAUGUAGUCCAAAAUCGCAUUUGACAAGAAUCAAACUUAAUACCUCUCACUUACAAGUGAAGAAGAAUACCACUAGACAAAAUACUAAAUUGCCACAUAGAUAAAUUUUAACCAAUCAUAAUAAUUUAAUGUAAAUCUACAAGCAUAGACAGUGCUAAACAAAUAUGAAUACUAGAUGAACUUGAGUUGGAGUUAAGGCAAGUGUUCGACACUAACUUGAAAAAGAAUUACGUAUUACGGUUUUUAUAGUUAUCCGCGCUAUAAUCUCUUACAAGGUACAACAACUCUCUUUGCGGGAAAAGCAUUGCAGUUCACAAAAACCGAAUUGUGUAUAAACUCACUCACACAACAGAAGAAUAAUUAUCCUAGAACUCUCUUUAUUUUGGAACUAUGUAUGUGUACGCAAAAAGCGAGAUCAAUUCACUUUGACUACUCUAUUUAGUAGAAGCAAGGUAUAAUCCGAGUUUGUUUCACUUAUGAGAGCCGGAGUUGAAUCCACUCUGAAUUUUAGUGUCUGGAGUUUAAAGAUAAAAAAAAUUGAGGUUUUGAUUUGUGUAGAACAGAAAUCAAAAUUGUUGAUUUGUGGUAGAUGAGCCAACAUAAUAAAUGAAUGUGAAUAGUUGAAUUCAAUUUAUGUGAUCUAAAUUUUUAAUCUCUUAGCUACAGACACUAAAGUUCAAAGGGGAUCCAAUUUCGUGAAGACUCAUCAAAAUAGGGAGGCCAAGAGAGUGGGCCCACAAGCUAAAAGCCUAAAACUUGCCGACAGGAUCCUCUUAAGAUCUUUUGGUAAGGAUCUGAGGAUCUGUAAAUUGUGUCCGUUUAUCGUAUAUCGUGCGAUCAGUUUUUGUCUAGUACUAUUUAUUUUUAAUUUUAAAUAAUUUCUUAUCGUACAAUGUACGAUAAACAGAUAUAAUUUACGGAUCUCCAUAAUUUUUACAAAGAGAAUCUAACGAUGAUCCGGAUUCUAAAACUUGAGGUGGGUCGGUCCCAGGGGCUCGUUUAUUUGUCCGAGUGGGAGAAGACAGCCAUAAAUUUCAUCAAAGCAUGAUUGCGUGGGUAACUGUUGGUAAAUUAAAUAAGACACAGACUGCUCUAGUUAGGUCAUUCAUUGUUUUCAUAAUCUAUAUGCACCAUUGGGUGGACCGACCCAUGAUUAAUAGCGGUCACAUUAUUAACUUAUUUAUUGUUUGUUUACUCGCACUAACUUUUCCACGUCUCGUAUUGUAUGGAACCAGAUUCUCUCUUGAGCAUAGGAUGAGGAUUCUUCUGAUCGGAUCAUCUCGAUUAUUGAAAUUUGAUCCAACGAUUACAAUAAUUAUAACUUUUAAAAUAUCCCCUGUUUAUAGCCGUUAGAUUAAAUUUCAAUGGUCCAGAUGACCCAGUCAGAGGAUCCCCACCCUAUGCUCAAGAGGGGAUCCGAUUUCGUAUUGUAUGGACCUGAUUAGAGAAAUGCUAAGAUCAUUUAUAAAAGAUAUGUCAAAAAUGCCACAUAGACAUAAAACUCGUUUGAAUGUGUUUUUAAAAUGACUAAAAGUGUUUUUGGUGAAAAUGUUUUUAGAACAAAUCUUUAGUAAAAACACUUAAAGUGCUUCCUGGAAGAAGCACAUAACUGGUGCUUCUUGCAGAAAGCACUUUAAGUGCUUUUGGAACCUAAAACAAUUUUCUCUAAAAACACUUUCAGUCAUUUUACAAGCACAUCCAAACGAGCUCAUAUAAUGAUAACAAAUUAUGUACUAUUUACUCCAACCAAGAUGUCAAUGAUGACAUGGCUAAGAUGACAUGGACGAUGUUAAAUUUGAAGCUGCCUUCAAAUUUUAUUUUUGUUAUUUCUAAAGGCAUUCCAAUUGUCUUACCUUAAAUGUUAGUACAUUUAAGUAUUAUUUUAUUAUUUUUAAACCAAUAACAACCCAACUUUAAUUAUUUUUGUUUAAAAAAACAUAAAUAAAAAAAAUAAACUUUUGGCAUACCAAGUGGAAAGAAAAUAUUGGCAAUAUGUUAAAUUACGAAGUCAGUCAUCAAAUUUAUAUUUGAUGUUUUAAAUUUGACAUCUUCUUUGGAGAUGCUCUAAAGAGGGUCUUUUAAAAGUGGUACUCUCUAUGAAUUUUUUGUCGUCUUAUGUUUUUGACACAAUGUUUUUAUAAUGUUGACACGAAAAUUGUUGUUAAAUUAUGAGGUGCCAAAGAGUUCAUAAAGAGUCAUACUUUAAAAGAGUUUCACUAGCAUUUCUCAUCCAAUUAUCAUUAACCCCCAAACAUUUAGACAUAGAAGGUGAUGAUUUGUUAUUGUAAUUAUUUCAUAUCAGUAGCAUUGCAACAUGUAUAAUCAUAAGUCUAAACGCCAUAUUAUAGGAUAUCAACAUCUUGAAGAAGAGGUUCAGUUAUUUUUCGAAGGUAACAUGGUGGCUCAUGAAUUGGUUAAACAUGGACUCUACAAUGGAGGUUUUAAUAUAUGGAUGGAGGGGGAACCACUUUGGCUAUCCCCCUUCCUUUAGUUUGAUAAUGACAACUUAUUGUAAGUGGUGAGCAAGUUGGUGAAGCAUUACUUUUCCCUCUUCUUUGUAGGAUUUUAAUGAGGCUUCCCUUGCUCCCCCAAAAUUCUUGUACUCUGUUUGUUUAACAGUACUGGAAAUAUCAGUUAUGAUAAAAAUAAAAAAAAUAAAAAGGCCAUAACGUGGAAUUGUUGUACGUGUCGGUAACAAAAUGCUACAUGAAUAUGUAACAUUACAAAUUCCCCAUAGGAUGAUAUAUUCACAUUAUCAGAUUUAGGGUUUGUAUGUAUGACUGCAACAUAAUCGUAUAGUUUGAAUGAAUUUGUAAUGUAUUCACAUUUUGGGUUUAAGGUUUGUAUAUCAAUGAUUGCAAUAUACAUAACUAUAAUUCAACUGAAUUUGUUACACUACAUUAACAUGUCAUCUUUUUCUCGUCACGAGAUGUUAUUGUCUCACACAAAUAUUCAUCGUAAUUAAUGGACCCUUGAAUUGAUGAAAAAAUAUUAGCCUUGUGCAACCCCCGGUUCAACAUAACAUAUGCAUCAUGCCAUUGCCAAAGUUUGUCUCAACACCUAGUCUAAAACCAUCAACAAGAAAACCUCGCUGUUGAAAAUGAAUCUUACAUUGAUGAGAGGAUGAAUCUUGCAUAUGCUUAUAAGCAAGUUGAAUUACUCUCCGUAUUGCCAAUUGGUUUUAUGGUGGAAAUCCAACAUCUUUACUCACUCAAACAACACUACUUAGUGCUACAAUUUAUGGAACCAAAAAACAUUGCCAAGCUUACAAUGCUCCUACAAACUAGGUACUUUUCCUAAGAAAUCUUACCUCUUAUGUGUUAAGUGACAUCAGAUGGUAAUGUUCUAGGUUAGUUUUCUUUAGCUAUUAUUGAAGAGUUCUAUAAAAGUUGUUAUUUUUUAGAAGAGUUUUAAAUACAUGUUACUUUAGCCGUUUGAUAAAAGAGAACUUUAACGAAAAGCUCUCAGUAUUGUUCACUUUAACGAAAAACCAUAUUUUUACAUUAAAAAGUCAAUUAUGGUACUAUUCACUUUACCCUUUAUUUUGUCCUUAUCGUUAAAACUCAAAGUUUUCAAGCAUUUUUCAUUAAUUUUCCUUUGAUAAAAACUUACUUAAAACUACAUGGGUAAAUGUCAAAAUGAUCUAGGCCGUCGAAAUUUGAUCAAACAGCUACAAAUAGGGGCCCUCUAAAGUAUAAUAAUUGUUGCCGUUGAAUCAAAUUUGAACGGCCAUGAUCAGUAGAUCCGUGGGCUCAGAUCCUUUGGAUCCAGAGAGGAUCCAAAUCCUUAUUAACCAGAUCCAAAUCCUUAUUAACCAAAUACAAUGCACAACAUCAUUUUCGUUUUAUAUUUAGAAAAUUGUUGAUAUUAUGCUAAAAUCCAACAAGUAUUACUCAAAAAUAGACUUGAAAAAAAAUUGUUACUUGUUGUAAAACUAACCAUUUGGGAGAAGGUAGAGGAAGGGCCGGCUAGAGAAGAAAGAAGAUAGAGAAGAACUUGAGGAAUUAUGUGUCUAAUUACUCAUGUUUAGUGUCUUUAUUUAUACUAAUCAUGAUGAGUUUGUUGCUUACAAGUAAUACAAGUUGUACAUGGAAAUGAUCUUCUAGAUCCUAUUGAUUUCCUAUUUCUAGCUACGCAAUCACACUAGUUUUUAAUCGGAUUCGUUCAAUUUCUCAAUCUUCAAUUGAAGAUCAUCUUUAGAAAAAUCUUGGAGAUUGUUCGGUCUUUUAAAUGUAUCAAAUAAAUAAACUAUCAUCAUAAAUAUGUUAUUUAGUACUGAUAUUGUAGAUUUAUUUCAUACAUUUGGUGCAUAAAUAAUUUCUGAUUCUAAUGAUUUUUCCUAGAGGUGAAUAAGAAAUUGAGGGAAUUCCAUUGUUAUAUUUAUACGACAAAGACAUGUUAUUCCCGGUAUAUGAGAUAUGUGCAUUCUUCCAUGAAGGAUACAAGUAUUUUCCUUACUAUAACGUAGUAAAAUUCAUAAAAGGCUUUUUAGUCAAAAUGGUACAUGAGAUUAACAUAACUUCUUGCUUUGGUUCAUAAGAUUUGAAAUCGAGCGGUCAUUGAGUUUGUUCACCAUCAACCAUUUUGGUUAUUCGAUGAAAAAUUUCUGUUAAAGAAGGACUAAAAUAACAAAAUUACUCUCAAUAUAAUAAAUAAUGGGUCAAAAUGAUUUGACAAACUUGAAGGUAUUUUUGGAAAAUGAUUUGGACCUUCAUGUUUUUUUUUCUUCAUAAAUAGUUGUUUAUUUUGUCAUUUGGGUCGAACCAAAUAAACAACAAUAAACGACAGUUUGACGAAGGCCGCUGAGAAAGCGGUGGAAAAGCCAACGACUUGAAUCAUUGAAUCGGCAUAAACAUUUAACAGCUCAACCCUAAACUUUUUUACGGACUACGCAGACCAAGUAUAUUUGUAAUAGUUUCACUCUCUUUGCAAGCACGUGAGAUGCACUCACGUCUUGGCAAAAGUGCUUUUCUUCCCUCGUUCAACCCUCUUUUUUUAUGUUUAUGUUUUUUUUAAUUAUUCCCUAAUUUAUGUUAGAAAAAUACCAAGAAUACUUUAUGAACCACAUUGUUGUUAGUCCAUUGUAAGACUAAGCUCAUCCCCUCCCUUUAGUAUAGAUAAUACCGUUUGUUAAAAAAAAAAAAAAGGUGACGAAGAAUCCCACUUUGAGAGUCUACUUAGCAUUUCUCUUUAUGUUAACAUGGUCUAAAAUUAGACGUGGUUUCAUUACACUUAAAAUGUUAAUAAAACUUUUUAUUAACAAGAGCAAUAUAAUUUACCCAAAAUUAAUUUAAAUUAUGGGGAGAGGGAAAUGGAGGAAAGCUUGAAAUCAAUGCGUAGUGGGAUGAAGAAAAGUGUUCUAUCCACAAUUAUUAUUCAGUAUUCACCACCUUCCAACAAAUUAUUGUUCUAUCCACAAAUAUUAUCCACGACUUUUUAACAAAAUACAUUAAUUCUUUCUAUGUAAAUGAAAUCACAUAUGAACUAGAAGUUAUAAAUUCAAUUCCUAAGCCACUUAGUAUUAUAGGUGAGUGAUAUUCGAUAUCAAUUUAUCUUUUUACUUUUUAGUGUAAAUAUAUCGUUGUAUACAAAAAAACUCAAUUCCAUAAAAAAAUGCAAGGAUUCCAAAUUAUUUUCAUCACCGAAAGUAAUAUUAAAAAUGUCACAAAUUCUCAUCUUCUCCUUUCUGUUAAUAAAAUAAUCAUGUAGUAAAAAAUUUUGUAAGCAAAAAGAAAAACCGAAUAUGAUAGAAACUAUAAUAUUACAAAUGGAGAAGGCGAUUAAUGCCAAUUUGGCCAAAGAUGGAAAUGAAUUAUUUCAAUAUUGUGACAGGUAAAACAUUGAAGAAAACGACGCAUGAAUUGAGAUAGAAAAUUUUUGAAAUUGUCUAGAAAGAGAAAAUUUCUAGACAUUUAGGAUUUAGUGAUAUUUUCUCUCGUUUUUUGGCAAAACAUAUCUCUAAUUUGAAUCAUCCAUCCCUUAUAGAAAAUAAAAAAAUUUCUAAAAUGAAUUGUUAUUGGCAUUCUAAAAAUCUCAUUUGGCACUCCAAACAUUUUAUAAUUAGAAAGAAAAAUACACUUAUAAGAAGUGUAGAUUGAGAUUUUUGAAGUGUUAAUAAUAGUUCCCUUUCUAAAAAUGGUAAGAUUAAUUAGUUUAAGUUGAUUAAGGUAGAGACGGCGCGUGGGAAAGAUGGUGAAAGAUAAGAAUGUCUUUUACGCCUUAGGCCUGUACAAACUACAGAGUCGGUCUUUUCUCUUGCACUGAAAGCUGCUGUUACUGCUGCGGGACACUCCCCCUUCUCACUCUACCAAUUUUUUCUUUUUCUUUUUACUCAAUUAUUUAUUUAUUUAUAUUAUUCGAGAGAUUUGAUGUUAAUUUUUGUUUAAUUUUUGUAUUCUCUUAAACUCUGCAACUCUACGUGUCUCUCUCCAGCCCCUGGGAGCCAUUGAUCCAUGUCCUUCCUUCUCCAAAUGCCCUGAAUAAUUUUCUAGGGUUUCCAGUAAAGGAGGCAUUUCCAAUAGGAGGGUGCUUUGUCUUGAAGGUGCUCAACAUUCUGCAGGUUGUGCAAAAAGGUUUGGACUUCUUGGAAAUUGGGGUUUUGUUUGUUGUGAAUUUGUGGGUAUUUUUAUUAGCAUUGAGAGUUUGCAUUCUAUGUGGAAGAACUGGCAUUUUGAAGGUUUUAUGUGCUGAAUUUAACUUACUAUGGUGAAAGAUUGAAGAUUUUCAAGAUUCUAGGGUUUGGGUUUCUGAAAUUGUGGGUUUUGCUUCUUGCAAAAGUGUGACUUUGGUGGGUUUGUGAAGGGGGGUGGAUUCAUGCAUUUCGUGCUUGUUGGAUCAUAUAUAUUGGAUGAGUUGAAUUCUGGGUUUUGGUUAGGAUUGUGUGGUCAAAAUGCAAGAUUUCUAAGGGUGAGAACAGUGGUUCUAUAGGAGGGCAUUGUUGGGGGUGGUUUUGGUGCAUAAUGGGUUGCAUUUAUUGUAAGCCCUCUGCAAUUGAGGAUAGCAAGGAGAGCCCCAGAGAGAGAUUGUCCAACAAGGGGGCAUCAGACUCGCGGACGACGAGGGUUGCUUCCUCAAGGAGGGAGGAAACUUAUCGGCCGAAAGAUCGAUAUGAUGGCAAUGGUGGGAGAGCAAUGUUGACUGAUACGCAAGUGAAUGGGCCUGUUCGAUCGCAAGGUGAGAAUUUUGAAAGGAAAAGGGAAAAGAUGGAGUAUGUUGUUGCUCAACAUCCUGGGAUUGGUAUCAUUCCAAAAGCUGCAGAAGGGGAGCAGGUUGCAGCAGGGUGGCCCUCCUGGCUAGCUGCAGUGGCUGGAGAGGCCAUCAAAGGAUGGGUACCCCGUCGUGCAGAUUCAUUUGAGAAGCUAGAUAAAGUAUGCUUCUUUUCUUGUUUAGUUCUCAAGUAGCUUUAUGGUGCAAGAAAAAUCUGCAUUAUUGAGUUUGAAUUUGGUAUUUUCUAUUUCAUUAUUGAGAUUGAAUUUGGUAUUUUCUAUUAUUGAGAUUGAAUUUGGUAUUUUCUAUUUCAUUGAAAUCUGUUUCCUUGUGGUUCAUAACUAAUUGAGGAACAAGGUUUACUAAGUAGCCAAUUUAAAGUUGGGGUUGAGGGCAGUAGUAUUAUUAUUACUUAUUAGUAUUGACAAGUUUAAGAGGUCGCACUUGGUGCGAUGGCAAAUGCCUUCGCCCAUGAGCGGUAGGUCUCGGGUUCGAGACUUGGGAGCAGCCUCUCCAUAAAUGGGGGUAAGGCUAGCCGACAUUCACCUCUCCCAGACCCUGCGUAAAGCGGGAGCCUUGUGCACUGGGUACGACCUUUAUUAGUAUUGACAAGUUUAAGAAUGUUGCGUCAAGGUAUACUUAUGAAUAGGCACAUGGAAUUCAUAUGGUGCAAAAUUCACUCUCAGUUCUCCUAUGUCUUUGGUAAUUGUAAAACUUUUAAAAGUAAAAGGCAAUGGAAAACUUGGAGCUAAGGGCUAGUGUACACAGAAGCGUAAAGCAUUGUUUAUUAAAAAUCAUUUGACAUGGGUGACUUGUUCAAGCAUAACAGUUUUAAGGUAGUAGUUGGUUCUGCAAGUUAUGAAUGGGGAAUUAUCUGCACUUGUAGGAUUUUGUUAAUUUUACUUAGGUAGGUUGGUUUUACAGUUUUAUGUUUUGGGUACUCUAUUGGAUGCUAUUUGGUUGCUAUGCUUAUAUAUGUAUCUGAUUUUCACAAUAACAUUGAGAAAAGAAAAAGGUUUAUGAUAUAUAAUAAAUACUAAAUCGCUCUAUUCGGUUCUUUCCACUGUGAUAUGAUACCUCUAUUUUUGGUUAUUUUCCUUGGUGCUAUCUCUUUACACUUCCAUAUUAGCUGGCUUUGGUUGUGUCCUAAUAUUUAUAUUUUGCAGAUUGGUCAGGGAACUUACAGUAAUGUUUAUCGGGCCCGUGAUCUUGAUCAAAAGAAAAUUGUUGCUUUGAAGAAAGUGAGGUUUGAUAACCUGGAGCCUGAGAGUGUUCGCUUUAUGGCAAGGGAAAUUCACAUUUUACGAAGGCUUGAUCAUCCAAAUGUUAUAAAACUAGAAGGUCUAGUUACUUCAAGGAUGUCUUGCAGCUUGUACCUUGUGUUUGAGUACAUGGAGCAUGAUUUGGCAGGGCUUGCUUCACACCCUGGUCUGAAGUUUACAGAAGCACAGGUACUUGGUCGUCUUCUUUCCUUCUUAUACUAAAAUAACAAGUUACUGUAGGUUUUUUGUCAGUUCUUGCUUCCUGUAUCUGCAUGAUGUUUGUGUUAUGAACUUUCUCUCAUCAGCAUCCAUUGAUGCUACUGGUGUAUUUUGUUUACUUUGACACUUGUGUAGUUGUGUGAAUGCUAUCCUGCAGUUUCAUUUCACUUAUGUAUAUAGGCUACACAACUUAUGUUAUGCUAGUAUCAAGACUGUUCAGUUGGAUGGAUGAUUGAGGUUCAAUUGAUUUAUUGGCAGGUUAAAUGUUACAUGCAGCAACUGUUAUGUGGACUUGAUCAUUGUCACAGUCGUGGUGUUCUGCAUCGUGAUAUUAAAGGUUCCAACCUUUUAAUUGACAACAAUGGCAUGCUGAAAAUCGCAGACUUUGGUCUGGCAAGUUUUUUUGAUCCUUGUCAAAAUCAACCUUUGACAAGUCGUGUUGUAACUCUAUGGUAUCGUCCACCUGAGCUUUUGCUUGGUGCUACUUACUAUGGGACAGCUGUGGAUUUGUGGAGUACAGGUUGCAUAGUUGCUGAACUGUAUUAUGGAAAGCCUAUUAUGCCUGGAAGAACUGAGGUAUUUAGAGUGUUUUUUUUUUUUUUUUUUUUUUUUUUAGUUGAUGCUCUUCACUGAUUUUUAUCUUCCAACUAUUUGGUAGUACAAAUGCGCACACGCAUGUUUCUGCAUUUAAAUUGAAUACUUUCUAGUUGGUGGAAGAAUAAGAAAUCAGCUAAGAACCUUUCUUAUCUAGUGGAAACCACCAUAAUGAAUCAUCUUCAUAAAUGUGUGCUGUAAACUUGCUUCCAUCCUUAUUCCUGAUCUGGUUUGUUGUGAUUUUACAACAUAAACCUAGUGGUGGCAUCUUGCAUGUCUGUCUUGUGGCUUUCUGAAUUGUUGUUCCUGUUAGGUUCAUUAUACACUUCGAAGUAGUUUGAGUGUAAAAUUUCAAAUUAUUCUUCCCCUUUCUUAGAAAUGGUUUGUUAGAUGUGAGAUUGCUCAUUAGAGGUGGCUUUGCAAGUAACCUCGUUGGGCCAUGCCACCAUGAAAGAUUUGUGGUUUUAGCUGGUAGGUUAGGGAUAGUUUAUGUACUGUUUCUGUUUGCAUUCCAGUUGCUCAAUUUCUCUGUGUCCUUGUAGUCAUGCCAACUUUGUAAUUAUUAGGAUAUGUCCCCUCUCCGUUUUUUACAUUCAGAAUCUCAUAUGCUUCUCUCAGAUGUAAGUGUUGUGCAACUAAAUAACCGGAUUUUGUGGAUUUUUACCUUGUAGGUGGAGCAGUUGCAUAAGAUUUUCAAGCUUUGUGGCUCACCUUCUGAAGAGUAUUGGAGAAAAUCAAAGUUGCCUCAUGCAACCAUAUUUAAACCCCAACAACCUUAUAGACGUUGUGUGGCAGAAACUUUUAAGGAUUUCCCUGCACCAGCUUUAGCACUUAUGGAGACCCUUCUUUCUAUAGAUCCUGCAGAUCGUGGAUCUGCAGCUUCUGCUCUCAAGAGCGAGGUUUGGAUCUUAAUUUAAUUCCAAUUUAAUGUUUUCUAAACAGGCAUUAUUUUUUCUGCAGUCUUUCUUUUAACUCGAUAUCUUCUUUGACACCAUUCUCUAUGUGUGCCUCACUACUUGUGCAUGCUUACAUCUGCGGUAGAGCUGUAGAUAUGUUGUGCUUUCCGUCUUUUGCCUGUGGUAUUUUUGAAAGUACAACUUUACUAUGUUCAAGUCCACUUUUCAUUGAGUUCACUUAUUUAACGUCUUCUCUGCUUUUAUGCCAUGUAAUGGUAGCUCUGGAGAUCAUGUUAAGCAAACCACCAGAUUGCAGCAAUUUUUUUUGGUUUUUCCUAUUCUGGACUGCGCUUUUAAAGGCUACAAUGUGUAUUUUAAUUGGCAGGAACAUUUGAUAACUCUCUUCUGCAUUAAUAACUAUUUAGAUAUUAGAAUCAUCCUAUUCUCUUUACGAGUUAUUUUACCAUAACUUUGAUUGUGUUUCUCAUGUGUUAUCUUUUUGUUUCCUUAUUUUUCACAGUUCUUUACAACAAAACCUCUUCCUUGUGAUCCAUCAAGUUUGCCAAAGUAUCCUCCAAGCAAAGAGUUUGAUGCUAAAGUACGGGAUGAGGAAGCUAGAAGGUGAAUGUUGUUACAUAAAUUAGUAACUGACACUUAACUACAAGUAGAAUUUUACCGUUUCUCAAUUUAUAGUUGCAAGGCACUUGCACAGUUGCACCACUAGCGUGUGUUUAUAUAUAUUAUAACUAGAUUCUACACACAUUUUAAGGUACUUACAUUCGUGGCAUGAGUGGUUCAGUCCCAAGAAUAACAACAACAAAGCCUUAUCCCUCUAAGUGGGGUCGGUUGUAUGAAUCCUAGAAUGCCAUUGUGCUCGGAUUUGCUCCAAGUCUUCCGUUGGCCCCCCAAAAAAAAAAAAAAAUGAAAAAGCCUAUGAUACAAGCACUGAGAGGUAAUUGAGCAAGUCGGACAGACUUGAUGCAUGAUACCUAUGGGUGAAGUUGUUCUUUUGUGAUUUUACCAAAGCUUCCAUGUAGGGGUUCUUGGGUUCUUAACAUCAAAUAAUGGGAAACUAUCUAAACGUAAUGGAAUGAGUAGGCCUUGGUAUUUAAUAACUGAUCUCAUAAGAGUCUGGACACUGGAGUUUCCCUAAAGCACCCUAGUUAGUACAAUUUUUCGUUGGUUGGGGCUGUGUAUGGUUGUGAUUUAGUCUCAUUUAUGAAGUGCAUUAGUGUAAAACCAUUUAUUAUUUCUGAGUACAUGCUUACACACUGAUGGUUUUUGGUUGAAUUCUGUCUACUGAUUUCUCAAGAUUUAAUUUGAGUAUUGUGAACCUGAUAUCAAGUUUGGUCCUAUAUGUAUAUUUUUUUCCUCUUCUAUUUUUAACAUUGUUAAUGUGGGUGGUGUAUAUAGUAACAAUCUUUUUCCACACAUUGGUAGACAAGGAGCAGCAGGGAAGGGCCAAAGGUUUGACCACGAAAGGAGAGGAACAAGAGAGUCUCGAGCCAUACCAGCACCUGAUGCCAAUGCUGAAUUAGUCAUGUCAAUGAAGGUAACCUGAUGUUAUUUUAACUAAAAACACUCACUUGGCUCCAUCAUUGAUUUAUGCUCUAACCUUUUAUAUAUGAUGAUAUUUAUGUGUUGCCUUUCUUUUCUGAUUUUUACAUGAACUUGCAGUAUUUAAUUGACAUAUUCAAUGCACUCUUAUUGCAUAGAAUCUGCCAGAAAAUAUCUUAUAUAUUUUCUCUUAUUGCAUCAAUGUUAUCCGGUGCAUGUGAGUUGGAUGCGAUCAUACCAACUCACAUGCACCGGAUCCAAUCAGAACUCCGAAGUUAAGCGAGUUUGGGCGAGAGUAGUACUAGGAUGGGUGACCUUCUGGGAAGUCCUCGUGUUGCAUCCCUCCCCACCUCUUUUAGAGGUCGCACUUGGUGCGAUGGCAAGUGCCUUCGCCCAUGAGCGGUAGGUCUCGGGUUCGAGACUUGGGAGUAGCCUCUCCAUAAAUGGGGGUAAGGUUAGCAGACAUUCACCUCUCCCAGACCCUGCGUAAAGCGGGAACCUUGUGCACUGGGUACGACCUUUUAUUUCUUCUUUAAAAAUCAUGUCUUUUUUUCAAGUUUUCUACUAUGAAAAGGGGCUUUUAUGAUCAACCCAAAUUUUCCCUUGAGUUAUAUAUAGUUAUAUACCCGUGCUUAACUUGUGAUUUCUACCAAUGUGAUUAACUCCGCAUAACAUUGAUGGUCUUGUUAAUUACCGACUUGCUUUUCUUAAACUACGAAAUAAUGUAUUUUUCAGCUGUGAAAUAAUUUCUUUCACUUAUAAUCUUGCGUAAUCCAAAUUGCAUGUUAUUAUUCAAUGCAAGAAAUUGUUGGACUCAAAUUUCUCUUGGAGACCCUUUGUUGUAAAUUAUUCAGUAUUGUUUAUGAUAUUACAUUCAUAUGGGAUAUAUAUCUCAAUACAAGGGAUUUUCUUGUUACAGAAAAGACAAGAUGGUUCUAAGAGCCGUAGUGAGAAGUUUAACCCUCAUCCAGAAGAAGUAGCUUCUGGCUUUCCAAUUGAUCCACCUAGGCCAUCACAAGCCGUAGAUGCAAGUGUAGAACAUCAUGGACAUAAUCAUAAGCGAGCUUCCCAUUCAGGGCCAUUGGCUCACCGGGCUGCAUGGGCCAAGUCUACUAAGAACCCAGAUGAUGCUCCAAAGGUUUCAACUGGAGCUGACUUGUCAGCAAUGUCAGGUUUAGUGGUAGCAAGGAGGAGUAUGUUAUCUGAAGAACGCAGAAAAAGGUCUAGUUCUUCACAAAUGGAAGUUCCAAAAGCAAUAGGCAGGUUUCCGGGUUCCUUCAAGGAGGCAUCAGAUCCCCUACAACAAGAUCAAAAGCAGGUCAUUGAAGGUUCUCAUCAAAAAGAUAUUCGAAGCAACAAAGAUCCAAUUAUUGUGAGUACCUGAACUCACGCCUUUUCCCCUAUGAUGGGGUUUCCUUGUUGAUUUAUAAUCGCUUGUGUAAAAUAACCUCAAGGGUGUGCGUUUUGUUUUAAUUUUGAUUUGUGGUUCAUAAGCUAUUCUUUAUGGUUUAUGUUUCGUUUUUUUUUUGGUUUAUUCUUGUUGCCCAAUAGAUCACUUUUUAUUUCUGGUUAUUUCAGGUUGGUUACGGAUCAAAGGGUCACAAAAUGCACUACUCAGGUCCGUUGCUAGUCCCCUCUGGGAACGUGGAUCAGAUGCUGAAGGACCACGAUCUCCAGGUCCAGGAAGCUGUUAGACGAGCACGCCUAGACAAGGCAAAGGUCAGAAAAUUUCACGCUGAGGCGAACCAAAUAUCCACCAAUUCAUUAUUUGUUUCUGGUCGUUGAGCUGGCAUAAGUAGACCCGAAAGCAGAGCAUCAGCAACAGAAAAAUCACCGCAGAUAAAAUUGCUGGUUUUCUCUUGUGAAAUGUGAGUUAUUCAUUGGUGGGGGGUGCUUUUAUUUUUUUGUAUAGGGGGGGGGGGGCACUCGUGGAAGAAUAGCCGGUGCCCAUUUUUAACUAAGUUUAUAGCACACGCUCGCUUGCUCUCUCGCUCUCUCACCUGUAUCGUUUUCCCUCCUUUGCAACUGAAAAAUAUGGCCCAUUCUUGUAGAGCUUGUUAUAAGCCAUAAGCUGUAGAGUAUGUGGGAAAUAUGAAAAUUGUGUUUUGUGAUGGAAAAGAGUAAUUUCCUUGUGCUGUUCUAACCACCUUCCCCUUUGUCAACUUUAUUUAGUUUUUGGAUAAAAAAUGGGGAAGGGGUGAAUCUGUCUACUCUUUUGAGUUCACAUUUAUAAUUCUCACUGUAAUCAUGAUUAGCCCCCUUUUUCUUACAGCUUGACUGGAAUUCUAAUCAUAUGCUGCAGAAUUUCCUAAUCCUUUGAUUUUUGAGUCAUAUAUGAUCUUGAAAAUAGAGACUACCCAGAUGAUUACAUGAAGACUUGUACUUGCCUAAAUUUUUGUUGGGUAGAUUGACACUAUAAGGUUGAAAAAUGUAUCUGGCUGCGUUUGACUUCUUGUCAUAGGCAUUUUUUUAUUAGAACUUUAUUCUAAUCAAACCAACAUACGGAAAGGAGGUUUCAAACUGUUCUAGCCAACUUAGCUACGUCUAAGUCUGCUCUUGUCGUGGGCAUCGAAAGUCUACGUCUACACACUCCUUUUCUCCUUAUGCACAUCCUAUUUUUUCAUUCCUUGAUUCUCCUUUGGUUUACUUAAUCUAAAGGUUAGAAAUAAAUAAGUGUGUAAAGAAGUAUGCGGAUAUAAGUUCCCAAGUCGGCGUGCUUGUUCAGUCUGGGUUUUUACCACACAAAUGUUGACUUGGAAAAGUUGGGGUUUAAUUCAAUUUUGUUGCUUCUGGAAGGCAAGGCAAGUUCUAUAUAUUUUGACUGCAGGAUGAUGCAGAAGACUCAUAGCUUACUGCAGGUGCCAUAGAAUUCAAUGGAGUCCCUUCGAUUACUUGUACUAUUCCUAACAACCCUCUUUCUCCUCCAAUCAAGUUUUGCAGUUGAUUUCUCCUUCACUGGUUUCAACUCAUCUGAUAUCUUGCUCUAUGGAAAUGCAACCACAGAUUCUGGUGUUCUUUCUCUCACAACCAACACCACAUUUUCCAUUGGCAGAGCUCUAUACAAUGCCAAGGUUCCCACAAGGUAUCCAGAUUCCAUAAACCUUUUGCCUUUCACCACCUCUUUCACCUUUUCCAUAGCCCCAUACAAGGACUCUCUCCCUGGCCACGGAUUCGUCCUUGUUUUCGUUCCCUCUCCAGGCAUCCAAUCCGCCUCUGCAUCCCAACAUCUCGGCUUCUUGAACAAUACCAAUAACGGUAACCCCAACAACCACGCUUUUGGAGUCGAAUUUGAUGUGUUCCAAGACAAAGAAUUCGGUGACAUCAACGAUAAUCACGUCGGCGUUAACGUCAAUUCUCUAACUUCUCUGGCUUCUUACGACGCUGGAUACUGGCUUGGUGAGGGCAGUAGCAUUACUGACUUUUCUUUCAAGGAAAUAAAGCUGAGUAGCGGAGACAACUAUCAAGCUUGGAUUGAGUACUGGAAUUACCAGCUCAGCAUAACAUUGGCUCCUGAAAAUGUGAAGAAGCCUGAGAGGCCUUUGAUUAGGGUUCCUCUUGAUCUCUCUCAAGUUUUUCUUGAUGAAAUGUAUGUUGGUUUCACUGCAUCAACUGGCCAACCAAUUGAAGAUCAUAAAAUUCUGAACUGGAGCUUCAAUAAUUGAAGCUAGUAUAAUAUUUAGAGUAUUUCGUCGAUGUACUCUCUGAACUUGUAGGUCGUUUUUAAUUUUCCACUUUGUUUUUUUUAGAAUAAAUGGGACUCAAACUAUUAAAAAAAAAAAAGCCAAUUACCUCCGUGCCGUCAUAUUUCCUAUAUAGUGCUACAUCCAAUGUAUUUAUCUUGAAUAUGUGAGUUGGAAGAUUUGUACCUUCAGAAACAAGUAAGGUUCAUGACAUGCCUCAUUAACCUGGCUUAAUGGAGGCAUGAAAAUAUUUGUUUCUUGUUUUGAUUUUGAUUAUGUAAAAGUUGAUGGUAUUGUAAAACGAUUAUAAUUCUCGGUCCUUAUUCGUGCAUGAUCUUUGUGAUUUUAUAUUUGACAUUUUUUUUAUUCAAACGAUAUUCUAUUAUAAACUAUUCUAAUUUACAAAACAAAAAAAUUUGAAUUCGGUGCAAGAAGAUGUGAGCAUACUACGUAAGCCAAAUGUAACAUUUCACAUUUGCUGUGUUUGCCAUUUCCAAAGUAGCAUUUGUUGCUGAUGAGUCAAUAUUAUAUUAUAUAUUUUACCCUAUUCUUAGUAUAAUUUGGUAAUUAUUUUGGUAUAAUUUUGAUACUUUGCUUUAUAUUUCCGAUAUAAGACAUUUGAUUUCCUCUGGAGCAAAACGGACGAAUUUUGGAGUGAUUCAAAUUGGAGGACGUUUGCCUGUCUCUUGGCUUGUUCGUGUCAAAAUUUGGGAUUUUUCUACCAAACGGUUAUUCUCUGGCGAUUUAAUACAAGAGCAGUGCGCGUUACUGGAAAGUGACGUUUCUGGGCUUAAAUUGCAUUUUUGGAGUCCAAGAUGACCCCAUAUGGGUUUGUGGCAUUCUGGAGAAGUGUUCAGAAUAGUCCAAGCUUUAAAUCCAUUUAUUUUGGGCCAGUUUUGGAGCUGAUUUGUGUCCAAAAUGUGGAUGUGCAGAUUUCUAGACGAAUUUACCAAGUCAAUUUAUGAUUUUGUUUCCUAUUUUAUUUCAAUUUAUUUAGUUUUCUAGUCUUAAUCUAAGACAUUUUACUAGGAGGAUUUGAUUUAAGAGUAGUAUAAGUAAGCCUUUUGGCAGACCAAGGGUUUUUCUUCUACGUACGCAAGAUUGAGAAAAGAAUUUGGCUAAAGCUUAGAGAUUUUCAAGACUUAUACUUUCAGGUGUUUUCGUUCUUUUUCUAGUUCAAUACGAUUAUGUUGAUUUUAAUUAUGAAUAUGCGUAACUAAUUCUCUUUGCUAGGUGAGGCCAUGAUCCUUAGCAAGAGUAUGUAGUCUCUUUUUAAUUUUCUUAUGAAUUUAUGCAUGCAAGUGGAUUGUUAAUCAUUGUGCUUUAAAUUAUCUAUUUGCCUUAGUAAUUCGCGACCAUCAGGAUAUUUAGAAAAGUAAUUUAAGGCAAUUUUGGUGGAUCCCUAAAAUUGACUAAGGCUUCUUGUGGUUAACAUGUGUAAUUACUUAGGAUGGACGUCACAUCUUAAGAGUUACAUGGUUUUUCAAAAGGUUUUAACAAAACUUAAUGAGUCUUGCAUGUUCACAUUCAAUCUAAACGUCAUGGACGGGUUGCAUGUUAGAUAUACGUUCUAUGUUGGGGGUUUCAAGUAAGACAUACUUUAUGAAAACCUAACCUUCAAAAUAUGCAUGUGUAAUUCAUAAGAAAUUAGAAAAACUACGUAGGAUUGUUAAGGUGACGGCAGAACUCUAGUGCUUUUCCAAAUUUGUUUCUCAAAAUCUUUUCUCUUUGAUUUGUUUCCUUUUUAAUUGGUUUUUAGUUGCUUUCCCUAAAUUACUCUUAUUAAAUUUCGUUUUUUUAUUACUUUUGAAUUCAAAAUCAACCUUUUCCAAUCUUUACUUUCAGAUAAUUAACUAGGAUUAUGGUUUUCAUAAAUUGUUUUAAAUAAUCCAUGCGGAAAACACCGUUUAUACUACAAUAACCUUAUUCUCUUGCAAGUAUUUUGUAUGAUUUUAACCUCAUUGCGCAGGUACCUAAAAAUCUUAUCAGUUGCAUAUGGCCCAAAGGCCACUAAACAAAACAUUUGAAUGUUAUGUGUCCAAUAGGGGCAACCAUGUCCACCACAUAUAAUUCAAAUGUGUCUGGUAGGACAAACAUGUAUGUCCACCACCCACAUAAAUUUCAUUCAUCAAUUUGAUCAAUAAUUUAAAACACACACAAGAGUCCCUACCAAACAACAUAACAAACUAAAAAAGAAAACAAAUAAGAGGCUCAAACAAAACGGACUUACACAGGCGAAUGAAUAUUAUUAUGCUGGAAAUGACCACUAACAAAUUCUUUUUUUGUGCUAACUAUAUGCUUAUAUCCAAAACGUUACUAUAGGUCUCAAGAUUAAACAUUUUUUUUUAUAAUGGAAUGCACAUGUAACUGUCACAUUCUAUCUUUCUAACUUGCAAGGGUGCACAAUGAUCUGAAUUUAUUUUCUUAUCCUUUAAACAUUAUCUCUACAAAACUUAACUAGAUCCAGAAUUGUUUAGUCAUCUAACGGUUAUCUAAAUAAAUAAACGAAUCAUGUUUCUCAUUUGAAUGUUGAAAUUUUAACAACAUUAGUUGAACGGUUAUAACUAAUCUCUAAUAUUGUGUUAGAACAUGAUAUGUUUUUAGAAGUUGAAAUUUGAUGCUUAAACAACAUAGACUUAAAUGGAUGGAUUACUGACCUCAAAUUAUUUAUUAAAGAUGCUAACACUUAUGCCCAAACAAAAUCUUGAAAUCUAUAGAUUUCUUUUACUCGAAUUUGAGAACAUGGACGUGCACCAAAUACAUUAAAUGUUGGGUACUUUUCAAGAGACGCUCUAUAACUUCUAUAGAAUGUGGUGGGACAAAUGAUUGACCUCGUACUUUAUUAAGGUCUAAUAAUUUUUACUAAAGAUAUAUCACACACAUGCAUGCUUUAUAAUUGACACAUACUAUUACAGAAGUAAAAGUGGUUGAUGUUUCUUAUUAGCACAAUUUUCGAUUUGUUAAAGAUAAAGAACGGUUCCAUGUGCUUUAUAAUCAACAGUUCAUUUUAAGAAUGUUACUUGCUAGUAUAACAGUUAAUUUAUUAAAUACAUAUAGAUAGAUGAUUAAAUACUCUCUAGAUUGAAUGAUUUUUUUAGAGAUGUUCUUUAAAUGAUGAUAAGGAUAAUGAAUGGUUAUGAUUAUAAUGUUUGUACAACAAAAUAAUGUCACGUCGCCGUUAAAUGAAAAGUAGCUUAGGCCAUGGUCUAAGCCAGGUGUUGUACAUAAUUAUCAUAAAUGGUUCAGAAUAAGAGUAUGAAAAUAUAAUAGAAUGACAAUUUAUAGGAAUAAGAUUUUCUUCCUUCCAAAUUCCCUCUCCUCCUCUCUCACUUUUCUUUUUGUCUUUCUCUCUCUAUAAGGAAGUCAACACAAAAUGUUGACGUGACUUAAUUAUGAACGUUUAUAUAAAAGGAGACUAGAAGAGGAGAAAAUAUCGAUCCGAGUUUACAAUGUUUGAUAAAGGUGGCCAUAUGGUAGUUUAAACAAAUAAUACAUGAAUACGGGAAGAUGACAAUAUGCAAUUACUACUGAUGCAAAAAGGGCCACAACUCUCGAUCUCAGCCUACUUACAAGAAACAAGUAUUUCUUCAGGUGCAUUUACAAUUUGUCACAACAUUACUGUCCAAAAAAAGCAUAUGCAUUAAUAUCUCACACAUCUAAAGAGAAGGGGCUUCAAAUAAUGAUAAUUAACAAAGCAUAGAUGGAAAAAAAAAAAGAAAAAAAAAAGCAUAGCAAACUUGCUGAUGAUAAGUAACUUGCUACUUUGAUACCACCACACAAUUUAUAUCUUCAUUACAAAAAAAAAAAAAAAAAAAAAAAAAAAAA